UUUUUUUUUGUUUUUGCUUAUGUUUAGGAAUAAAUAAUCCAUCUACCUUCUGUUUAGAUGUGGUUUUAUGUUUUAAUUAGUGUUUGUGCCAAGUAGAACCUAUAGGAUAACCUACGAUGAUAGUUGAUUUGAUUCUGCUGAAAAACAGAAACUUUGCGCGCACGAAUUUAGUUAUGAUAAAUCACAGAAACGUUAUUUUGCGUUGAUUCUUUUUGAUGCUGAUCAAUAAACAAAUUUUACAGGACUUCCUAUUUUGGUAGAAGUUUUAGAGUUCCAGAAGUUUGCGUUAGUUACAGAUUGCUACAGACUGUUCUGUUUUUGACAGAUUCUGUUUUUCGUGUGUUGUUUUCUUAUUUUGAUGAAUCUAUGGCUAGUAAAUUAGUUUAUAAUCCAUAUAGAAGUUGGAAUAAAGUAGGUUUAACACCAAUAUAAAAAAAAGAAUGAGUUCAUUACAGUACCUUGAAGUAGUCUUUUGUUUUCUUUCUCUAACGGAGCUCACGAGAUUUCUGUUGAGUUUUGUGUUGUGAAGUUUUCAAGUUUUGGGUGAAUUCUUUUGAUGGAUUAUGAAACAAGGAGUGGCAAGAUCCUAAGCUUGGGGAUGCCCAUGGCACCCCCAAGAUAAUCCAAGGACACCAAAAAGUCAAAGCUUGGGGAUGCCCCGGAAGGCAUCCCCUCUUUCGUCCAUUUCCAUCGGUAAUUUACUUGGAGCUAUAUUUUUAUUCACCAACAUGAUAUGUGUUUUGCUUGGAGCGUCUUGUAUUAUUUGUGUCUUUGCUUGUUAGUCUACCACAAUCAUCCUUGCUGUACACACCUUUUGAGAGAGCCAUACAUGAAUUGGAAUUUGUUAGAAUACUCUAUGUGUUUCACUUAUAUCAUUUGAGCUUGAUAGUUUUGCUCAUAGCGCUUCACUUAUAUCUUUUGAGCGUGAUAACUUUUGCUCUGGUGCUUCACUUAUAUCUUUUAGAGCACGGUGGUGGAUUUGUUUUAAAGAAACUAUUGAUCUCUCAUGCUUCACUUAGAUUAUUUUGAGUCGUUAAUAGCAUGGUAAUUUGCUUAAUAUUAAUAUACUUGGUGUUCAAGAUAUGUGAAACUUUCUUUUGAGUGCGUUGAAUACUAAGAUAAGUUUGAUGCUUGAUAAUUGUUUUGAGAUAUGGAGGUGAUAAUAUUAAAGUCAUGCUAGUUGAGUAGUUGUGAAUUUGAAGAAUACUUGUGUUGAAGUUUGUGAUUCCCGUAGCAUGCACGUAUGGUGAACCGUUAUGUGAUGAACUCAGAGCAUGAUUUAUUUAUUGAUUGUCUUCCUUAUGAGUGGCGGUCGGGGACGAGCGAUGGUCUUUUCCUACCAAUCUAUCCCCCUAGGAGCAUGCGUGUAAUACUUUGCUUUGAUAACUUCUAGAUUUUUUCAACAAUUAUAUGAGUUCUUUAUGACUAAUGUUGAGUCCAUGGAUUAUACGCACCUUUUCCCAUCCUUCCACCUUUGCUAGCCUCUCAAAUACCGCGCACUUUUCGCCGGUAUCAUAUACCCACCAUAUACCUUCCUCAAAACAGCCACCAUACCUACCUAUCAUGGCAUUUCCAUAGCCAUUCCGAGAUAUAUUUCCAUGCAACUUUCCACCGUUCCGUUUAUUAUGACACGCUCCAUCAUUGUCAUAUUGCUAGCAUGAUCAUGUAGUUGACAUUGUAUUUGUGGCAAAGCCACCAUUCAUAAUUCUUUCAUACAUGUCAUUCAUGAUUCAUUGCAUAUCCCGGUACACCGCCGGAGGCAUUCAUAUAGAGUCAUACUUUGUUCUAAGUAUCGAGUUGUAAUUGUUGAGUUGUAAGAAAAAUAAAAGUGUGAUGAUCAUCAUUAUUAGAGCAUUGUCCCAAGUGAGGAAAGGAUGAUGGAGACUAUGAUUCCCCCCACAAGUCGGGAUGAGACUCCGAACGAAAAAAAACAGGCCAAAAAACUAAGAGAAAGGCCCAAAUAAAAAAUGAGAGAAAAAGAGAGAAGGGACAAUGCUACUAUCCUUUUACCACACUUGUGCUUCAAAGUAGCACCAAGAUCUUCAUGAUAGAGAGUCUCUCAUUUUUGUCACUUUCAUAUACUAGUGGGAAUUUUUCAUUAUAGAACUUGGCUUGUAUAUUCCAAUGAUGGGCUUCCUCAAAAUGCCCUAGGUCUUCGUGAGCAAGCGAGUUGGAUGCACACCCACUUAGUUUCUUUUGUAGAGCUUUCAUAUACUUAUAGCUCUAGUGCAUCCGUUGCAUGGCAAUCCCUACUCACUCACAUUGAUAUCUAUUGAUGGGCAUCUCCAUAGCUCGUUGAUACGCCUAGUUGAUGUGAGACUAUCUUCCCUCUUUUUGUCUUCUCCACAACCACCCUUCUAUUCCACCUAUAAGUGCUAUAUCCAUGGCUCACGCUCAUAUAUUGCGUGAAGAUUGAAAAAGUUUUGAAAAUGUUAAAGUAUGAAACAAUUGCUUGGCUUGUCAUCGGGGUUGUGCAUGAUUUAAAUAUUUUGUGUGGGGAAGAUGGAGCAUAGCCAGACUAUAUGAUUUUGUAGGGAUAACUUUCUUUGGCCAUGUUAUUUUGAGAAGACAUGAUUGCUUUGAUUAGUAUGCUUGAAGUAUUAUUAUUUUUGUGUCAAUAUGAACUUUUGUAUUGAAUCUUUCGGAUCUGAAUAUUCAUGUCAUAAUUAAGAAGAUUUACAUUGAAAUUAUGCCAAAGUAUCACUCCGCAUCAAAAAUUCUUUUUUAUCAUUUACCUACUCGAGGACGAGCGGGAAUUAAGCUUGGGGAUGCCUGAUACGUCUCCAACGUAUCUAUAAUUUUUGAUUGCUCCAUGCUACUUUAUCUACUGUUUUGGACUAUAUUGGGCAUUAUUUUCCACUUUUAUAUUACUUUUGGGACUAACCUAUUAACCGGAGGCCCAACCCAGAAUUGCUGUUUUUUGCCUUUUUUAGUAUUUCGAAGAAACAGAAUAUCAAACGGAGUCCAAACGGAAUGAAACCUUCGGGAUCGUGAUUUUCCAACCGAACGUGAUCAGGAGACUUGGACCCUACUCCAAGAAGUGUCCGAGGAGGUCACGAGGGUGGAGGGCGCGCCCCCUACCUCGUGGGCCCCUCGGAGCUCCACCGACGUACUCCUUCCUCCUAUAUAUACCUACGUAUCCCCGAACGAUCAGAACAGGAGCCAAAAACCUAAUUCCACCAGCACAACCUUCUGUAUCCACGAGAUCCCAUCUUGGGGCCUGUUCCGGAGCUUCGCCGGAGGGAGCAUCCACCACGGAGGGCUUCUACAUCAACACCAUAGCCCCUCCGAUGAAGUGUGAGUAGUUUACUUCAGACCUUCGGGUCCAUAGCUAGUAGCUAGAUGGCUUCUUCUCUCUUUUUGGAUCUCAAUACAAUGUUCCCCCCUCUCUCGUGGAGAUCUAUUCGAUGUAAUCUUCUUUUUGCGGUGUGUUUGUUGAGAACGAUGAAUUGUGGGUUUAUGGUCCAGUAUUAUCUAUGGAAAAUAUUUGAUUCUUCUCUGAAUUCUUUUAUGUAUGAUUGAGUUAUCUUUGCAAGUCUCUUCGUAUUAUCCUUUUUGGUUUGGCCAACUAGAUUGGUAGUUCUUGCAAUGGGAGAAGUGCUUAGCUUUGGGUUCAAUCUUGCGGUGUCCUUACCCAGUGACAGAAGGGGCAGCAAGGCACGUAUUGUAUUGUUGCCAUCGAGGAUAACAAGAUGGUUUUUUUAUCAUAUUGCAUGAUUUUAUCCCUCUACAUCAUGUCAUCUUGCUUACAGCGUUACUUUGUUUUUAACUUAAUACUCUAGAUGCAUGCUGGAUAGCGGUCGAUGAGUGGAGCAAUAGUAGUAGAUGCAGAAUCGUUUCGAUCUACUUGUUUUGGACGUGAUGCCUAUAUACAUGAUCAUUGCCUAGAUAUACUCAUAACUAUGCCCAAUUCUGUCAAUUGCUCAACAGUAAUUUGUUCACCCACCGUAGAAUACUUAUGCUCUUGAGAGAAGCCUCUAGUGAAACCUAUGGCCCCCGGGUCUAUUCUCAUCAUUAUCAAUCUCUAUCGCUUUAUUUACUUGCUUUGUUUUUACUUUGCCUUUUACUUUUUACUUUGCAUCUAUCUAUCAAAAAUACCAAAAAUAUUAUCUCUAUCAGAUCUCACUCUCGUAAGUGACCGUGAAGGGAUUGACAACCCCUAAGCGUUGGUUGCGAGUUGCUAUCGUUUUGUGUAGGUACGAGGGACUUGUGCGUGGUCUCCUACUGGAUUGAUACCUUGGUUCUCAAAAAAUGAGGGAAAUACUUACGCUACUUUACUGCAUCAUCCUCUCCUCUUCGGGGAAAUCUAACGCAGUGCUCAAGAGGUAGCUAUGGCUUCAAGCCAUUUGUUGGAAUCUGGGCCCGCCAUCGCUUCUUCAUAGUUCGAAGGUUCACCGUUGUCUAACAACAUGAUUUCCAGGACAGGGUUGCCAUACCAUUCUGGUGUGGAACGUGUACUUGUGGACCUACGAAGUUCAGUAGGAACUUGAUCCGAAGUACCUUGAUCAUCAUCAUUAACUUCCUCUCUAGUCGGUGCAGGCACCACAGAAACAUCUUCCUGAGCUACGCUAAUUUCUGCUUCAAGAGGCAGUACUUCAUCAAGUUCUACUUUCCUCCCACUUACUUCUUUCGAGAGAAACUCUUUCUCCAGAAAGGACCCAUUCUUGGCAACAAAGAUCUUGCCUUCGGAUCUGAGGUAGAAGGUAUACCCAAUGGUUUCCUUAGGGUAUCCUAUGAAGACGCAUUUUUCCGACUUGGGUUCGAGCUUUUCAGGUUGAAGUUUCUUGACAUAAGCAUCGCAUCCCCAAACUUUUAGAAACGACAACUUAGGUUUCUUCCCAAACCAUAAUUCAUACGGUGUAUCUCAACGGAUUUAGACGACGUCCUGUUUAAAGUGAAUGUAGCUGUCUCUAGAGCGUAUCCCCAAAAUGAUAGUGGUAAAUCGGUAAGAGACAUCAUAGAUUGCACCAUAUCCAAUAGAGUGCAAUUACGACGUUUGGACACACCGUUACGCUGAGGUGUUCCAGGAGGCGUGAGUUGUGAAACAAUUCCACAUUUCCUUAAGUGCAUACCAAAUUCAUGACUCAAAUAUUCUCCCCCACGAUCUGAUCGUAAGAACUUUUUUUUUGGGUCACGUUGAUUCUCUACCUCAUUCUGAAAUUCCUUGAACUUUUCAAAGGUCUCAGACUUGUGUUUCAUCAAGUAGACAUACCCAUAUCUACUUAAGUCAUCAGUCAGGGUGAGAACAUAACGAUAGCCUCCGCGAGCCUCAACACUCAUUGGACCGUACACAUCAGUAUGUAUGAUUUCCAAUAAGUUGGUUGCUCGCUCCAUUGUUCCGGAGGACGGAGUCUGGGUCAUUUUGCCCAUGAGGCAUGGUUCGCAUGUGUCAAAUGAUUCAUAAUCAAGAGGAUACAAAAGUCCAUCUGCAUGGAGCUUCUUCAUGCGCUUGACACCAAUGUGACCAAGGCGGCAGUGCCACAAGUAUGUGGGACUAUCAUUAUCAACCUUACAUCUUUUGGUAUUCACACUAUGAAUAUGUGUAACAUCACGUUCGAGAUUCAUUAAGAAUAAACCAUUGACCAGCGGGGCAUGACCAUAAAACAUAUCUCUCAUAUAAAUAGAACAACCAUUAUUCUCGGACUUAAAUGAGUAGCCAUCUCGUAUUAAACGAGAUCCAGAUACAAUGUUCAUGCUCAAAGCUGGCACUAAAUAACAAUUAUUGAGGUUUAAAACUAAUCCCAUAGGUAAAUGUAGAGGUAGCGUGCCGACGGUGAUCACAUCGACCUUGGAUCCAUUCCCGACGCGCAUCGUCACCUCGUCCUUCGCCAGUCUCCGCUUAUUCCGCAGCUCCUGUUUUGGGUUACAAAUAUGAGCAACCACACCAGUAUCAAAUACCCAGGAGCUACUACGAGUACUGGUAAGGUACACAUCAAUAACAUGUAUAUCACAUAUACCUUUGGUGUUGCCGGCCUUCUUGUCCGCUAAGUACUUGGGGCAGUUCCGCCUCCAGUGUCCGUUUCCCUUGCAAUAAAAGCAUUCAGUCUCAGGUUUGGGUCCAUGCUUUGGCUUCUUCCCGGCAACUAGCUUACCGGGCGCAGCAACUCCCUUGCCGUCCUUCUUGAAGUUCUUCUUACCCUUGCCUUUCUUGAAACUAGUGGUUUUAUUGACCAUCAACACUUGAUGUUCCUUUUUGAUCUCCACCUCCGCUGAUUUCAGCAUUGAAUAUACCUCAGGAAUGGUUUUCACCAUCCCCUGCAUAUUGAAAUUCAUCACAAAGCUCUUGUAGCUAGCUAGAAGCGACUGGAGUAUUCUGUCAAGGAUCGCGUCAUCCGGGAGAUUAACUCCCAGCUGAGAUAAGCGGUUGUGCAACCCAGACAUCUUGAGUAUGUGCUCGCUGACGGAACCAUUCUCCUCCGUCCUAGAACUGUAGAACUUGUCGGAGACUUCAUAUCUUUUGACCCGGGCAUGAGCUUGGAAAACCAUUUUCAGCUCUUGGAACAUCUCAUAUGCUCUGUGCUGCUCAAAAUGCUUUUGGAGCCCCGGUUCUAAGCUGUAAAGCAUGUCGCACUGAACCAGGGAGUAAUCAUCACUACGCGGCUACUAGGCAUUCAUAACGUCUUGAGUUGCUGGGAAAACGGGUGCUUCACCUAGCGGUGCAUCUAGGGCAUAUGCUUUCUUGGCAGCUAUGAGGAUGAUCGUCAAGUUCCGGACCCAGUCCGUAUAGUUGCUACCAUCGUCUUUCAGCUUGGUUUUCUCUAGGAACGCGUUGAAGUUGAGGGCAACAUUAGCGUGGGCCAUUUGAUCUACAAGACAUAUUGCAAAGAUUUUAGACUAAGUUCAUGAUAAUUAAGUUCAUCUAAUCAAAUUAUUUAAUGAACUCCCACUCAGAUAGACAUCCCUCUAGUCAUCUAAGUGAUACAUGAUCCGAGUCAACUAGGCCAUGUCCGAUCAUCACGUGAGACGGACUAGUCAUCAUCGGUGAACAUCUUCAUGUUGAUCGUAUCUACUAUACGACUCAUGUUCGACCUUUCGGUCUCUUGUGUUCCGAGGCCAUGUUUGUACAUGCUAGGCUCGUCAAGUCAACCUAAGUGUUUUGCAUGUGUAAAUCUGGCUUACACCCGUUCUAUUCGAACGUUAGAAUCUAUCACACCCAAUCAUCACGUGGUACUUCAAAACAACGAAUCUUCGCAACCGUGCACAGUUAGGGGGAACACUUUCUUGAAAUUUUAUGAGGGAUCAUCUUAUUUACGCUACCGUCGUUCUAAGCAAAUAAGAUGUAAAACAUGAUAAACAUCUCAUGCAAUCAAAUAGUCACAUGAUAUGGCCAAUAUCAUUUUGCUCCUUAUGAUCUCCAUCUUCGAGGCGCCAUGAUCAUCAUCGUCACCGGCAUGACACCAUGAUCUCCAUCAUCGUGUCUUCAUGAAGUUGUCUCGCCAACUAUUACUUCUACUACUAUGGCUAAUGGUUUAGCAAUAAAGUAAAGUAAUUACAUGGCAUUAUUUAAUGACACGCAGGUGAUACAAUAAAUUAAGACAACUCCUAUGGCUCCUGCCGGUUGUCAUACUCAUCGACAUGCAAGUCGUGAUUCCUAUUACAAGAACAUGAUCAAUCUCAUACAUCACAUAUAUGUCAUUCAUCACAUCCUUUUGGCCAUAUCACAUCACACGGCAUAUGCUGCAAAAACAAGUUACACGUCCUCUAAUUGUUGUUGCAAGUUUUUACGUGGCUGCUAUAGGUUUCUAGCAAGAACGUUUCUUACCUACGCCAAAACCACAACGUGAUAUGCCAAUUGCUAUUUACCCUUCAUAAGGACCCUUUUCAUCGAAUCUGAUCCAACUAAAGUGGGAGAGACAUACACCCGCUAGCCACCUUAUGCAACUAGUGCAUGUCAGUCGGUGGAACCUGUCUCACGUAAGCGUACGUGUAAGGUCGGUCCGGGCCGCUUCAUCCCACGAUGCCGCCAAAUCAAGAUAAGACUAGUAGUGGCAAGUAAAUUGACAAAAUUGACGCCCACAACAACUUGUGUUCUACUCGUGCAUAGAAACUAUGCAUAGACCUAGCUCAUGAUGCCACUGUUGGGGAUCGUUGUAGAAAUUAAAAAAAUUCUACGCAUCACCAAAAUCAAUCUAUGGAGUAACUAGCAAUGAGAGAGAGGGGAGUGCAUCUUCAUACCCUUGAAGAUCGCAAGUCGGAAGCGUUACAAGAACCCGGAUGAAGGAGUCGUACUCCUAGCAAUAUAGAUCGCGGUGGAUUCCGAUCUAAGCGCCGAACAAUGACACCUCCGUGUUCAACACACGUGCAGCCCGGUGACGUCUCCCACACCUUGAUCCAGCAAGGAGGAGGGAGAGGUUGAGGAAGAUAGCUCCAGCAGCAGCACGAUGGCGUGGUGGUGAUGAAGUGGCAGUUCUCUGGCAGGGCUUCGCCAACCUCACGCGGAGGAGGAGAGGUGUUGGGGAGGGGAGGGGCUGCGCCUUGGAUGUGGUGCUGCAACCCUCCCUCCACCCCUCUGUUUAUAGGGAGAAGGGGGAAGAGGGCCGACCCCUCUAGAUGAGAUCUAGAGGGGGGCGGCGGCCAAGGGGGAGGGGGCUUGCCCCCCAAGCAAGAGGGCACCCCUUUAGGCGCCCCCCAAACCCUAGGCGCAUGGGCCCUAGGGGGGAUGGUGCCCAUCCCACUUAGGGGCUGGUUCCCUUCCACCUACAGCCCAUAAGGCCCUCCGGGGCAGGUGGACCCUCCCAGUGGACCCCCAGAACCCCUCCGGUGGUCCCGGUACAAUACCGGUAUACCCCCGAAUAUUUCCGGUGACCGUAUGAUGACUUCCCAUAUAUAAAUCUUCAGCUCCAGACCAUUCCAGAACUCCUCAUGACGUCCGGGAUCUCAUCCGGGACUCCGAACAACAUUCGGUAAUCACAUACAAAUCUUCCUUAUAACCGUAGCCUCAUCGAACAUUAAGAGUGUAGACCCUACGGGUUCGGGAAUCAUGCAGACAUGACUGAGACAACUCUCUGGCCAAUAACCAAUAGCGGGAUCUGGAUACCCAUGUUGGCUCCCACAUGUUCCACGAUGAUCUCAUCGGAUGAACCAUGAUGUCGAGGAUUCAAGUAAUCCCGUAUACAAUUCCCUUUGUCAAUCGGUAUGUUACUUGCCCGAGAUUCGAUCGUCAGUAUCCCAAUACCUUGUUCAAUCUUGUUACCGGCAAGUCACUGUACUCGUUCUGUAAUGCAUGAUCCCGUGACCAACUACUUAGUCACAUUGAGCUCAUUAUGAUGAUGCAUUACCGAGUGGCCCCAGAGAUACCUCUCCUUCAUACGGAGUGACAAAUCCCAGUCUCGAUUCAUACCAACUCAACAUACACUUUCGGAGAUACCUGUAGUGCACCUUUAUAGCCACCCAGUUACGUUGUGACGUUUGGUACACCCAAAGCAUUCCUACGGUAUCCGGGAGUUGCACGAUCUCAUGGUCUAAGGAAAUGAUACUUGACAUUAGAAAAGCUUUAGCAAACGAACUACACGAUCUUGUGCUAUGCUUAGGAUUGGGUCUUGUCCAUCACAUCAUUCUCCUAAUGAUGUGAUCCCGUUAUCAAUGACAUCCAAUGUCCAUAGUCAGGAAACCAUGACCAUCUGUUGAUCAACGAGCUAGUCAACUAGAGGCUCACUAGGGACAUGUUGUGGUCUAUGUAUUCACACAUGUACUACGGUUUCCGGUCAAUACAAUUAUAGCAUGAAUGAUAGACAAUUAUCAUGAACAAGGAAAUAUAAUAAUAACCAUUUUAUUAUUGCCUCUAGGGCAUAUUUCCAACAGUCAUCUCAACCCUUCGAGCUGCUACACAUGGACUUAUUUGGCCCCACUAACUACUCUACUCUCACUACCACUGCUUGUCUCUAUGGCUUCGUCAUUAUUGAUGAUUAUUCAAGAUAUACAUGGGUGCGUAUAAUCCUCUACAAGACUGAAGUGCAGGAUGUCUUCAGACGCUUCGCCAACAAUGCCAUGACGAACUAUGGCGUCAAGAUCAAGCAUAUCAGAAGUGACAACGGCACAGAAUUCUAGAACACCGGCCUCGACCUUUAUCUGGACACAUUGGACAUCACUCAUGAGUUCUCAGCUCCGUACACACCUCAGCGGAAUGGCAUCAUGGAGCGCAAGAAUAGAACACUAAUUGAGAUGGCUCGGACGAUGCUUGAUGAAUACAAGACUCCAAGAAAGUUCUGGCCCGAAGCCAUUGAUACUGCAUGUCAGGUCAUCAACCGUGUUUAUCUUCACAAGCUUCUGAAGAAGACAACCUAUGAACUCCUAACUGGUAAGAAGCCAAAUGUCAGUUACUUCAGAGUAUUUGGUGCUAGGUGCUGGAUCAAGGAUCCACAUCACACUUCAAAAUUUGCACCGAAAGCACAUGAAGGUUUUAUGCUUGGUUGCGGAAAGGAUUCACACUCCUACAGAGUCUUCAACCUCUUUCACUAUAAAGUGGUUGAAACUGUAGAUGUGCGGUUCGAUGAGACUAACGGCUCUCAAAGAGAGCACCUGCCAAAUGUGCUAGAUGAAGUUCCACCUAGUGAAUCCAUCAAGCUCAUGGGAACUGGAGAGAUCAUACCUUCUGAGGCAUAGGCAGAAGAGGAACUUAUCAUUUCUGCACCUAAUCAAUCUGAAGACAAUGCUCAAACUGAAGCCAAUCCUCCAAAUGAAGACAAUGAUCAGCAAGAGCAAAAUCUUCGUCCAGUUCACCCUUGUGUUGCAAAUGAAGUACAAAUUGAGAAGAUAAUUGAUAGCAUCAAUGCACCUGGUCCACUCACUCGUUCAAGAGCAACACACCUAGCAAAUUUCUGUGGGCACUUUGCAUUUGUCUCAAUAUCUGAACCCAAGAAAGUUGCUGAAGCCUUCAUGGAACUUGAAUGGAUUCAAGCUAUGCACGAAGAGCUUCAGCAGUUCAAACUGAACAAUGUGUGGGAAUUAGUCAAGCGUCCUGACGCUCUCAAUCACAACAUUAUAGGCACCAAAUGGAUAUAUCGCAACAAGCAAGAUGAGCAUGGUCAAGUUGUCAGAAACAAGUCUCGUCUCGUUGCUCAAGGAUACACUCAAGUUGAAGGGAUUGACUUCGAUGAAACAUUUGCUCCUGUGGCUAGGCUUGAAUCCAUUCGCAUACUGCUAGCCUAUGCAAAUCAUCAUGACAUCCUUCUGUAUCAAAUGGAUGUGAAGAGUGCCUUUCUCAAUGGCAAGAUUGAAGAAGUAGUGUAUGUUGCACAACCACCUGGCUUUGAAGAUCCAAAACAUCCUGAUAUGGUAUACAAGCUCAACAAGGCACUAUAUGGCCUCAAACAAGCCCCUCGCGCUUGGUAUGACACACUCAAAGACUUCCUGAAGAGCAAAGGCUUCAAACCUGGUUCCAUGGAUCCCACACUCUUCACGAAGACAUAUGAUGGUGAACUAUUUGUGUGCCAAAUCUAUGUGGAUGACAUUAUCUUCGGUUGCACUGACAAGAGAUACACUAAUGAAUUUGGACACAUGAUGCAAGAGCAAUAUCAGAUGUCCAUGAUGGGUGAGCUGAAGUUCUUCCUAGGUCUUCAAAUUCGUCAGCAGAGCAACGACAUAUUUAUAUCUCAAGAGAAAUACCUCAAAGACUGCCUGAAGAAGUUUGGAAUGCAAGACUACAAAGGUUGCACGACGUCAAUGCCAACCAAAAGUCAUCUGGGUCCUGACACCAAUGGUAAAGAGUUCGAUCAAAAGGUAUACCGCUCCAUGAUUGGUUCCUUACUUUAUUUAUGUGCAUCUAGGCGAGAUAUCAUGCUUAGUGUUUGCAUGUGUGCCCGAUUCCAAGCGGCACAUAAGGAAUCACAUCACUUAGCUGUGAAGCGAAUUCUUUGAUAUUUGGCUUACACCCCAACACUAGGAUUAUGGUAUCCAAAGGGCUCAGAAUUUGAUCUGGUUGGAUUCUCGGAUGCUGAUUAUGUUGGUGACAAGGUGGAUCGCAAGUCUACAUCAGGCACAUGCCACUUUCCGGGUCGAUCACUUGUCUGUUGGUCUUCAAAAAAGCAGAACUGUGUAUCACUCUCCACUGCUGAAUCUGAAUACAUUGGUGCUGGAUCUUGCUGCGCUCAGCUUCUAUGGAUGAAGCAAAUUCUCAAGGACUAUGGUAUCCAUCUGAAGCAAGUGCCACUCUACUGCGACAAUGAAAGCGCCAUCAAGAUUUCCAUCAACCCAGUUCAGCACUCGAAGACAAAGCACAUUGAAAUUCGUCAUCACUUUCUCAGAGAUCAUGUCAUGAAGGAAGAUAUUGAUAUCAUUCACGUCAACACUGAAGAGCAAUUGGCAGAUAUCUUCACAAAGCCCUUGGAUGAGAAAAGGUUUUGCAAGUUGCGGUGUGAGCUAAAUAUCUUAGAAUCCUCAAAUGUUCUGUGAUUAGGCACACAUCCUAACACUUAUGCAUGUUGAUGACUUAGAUGUGCAACACGCGAAGUAUUGUAUAUCUUCAAUCAAUGAAGACUUACACUCUAGUGUGAAUACAUUAAUGCGGAAUUUGACUUCGGAGCGCCACGAUAAUUGUGCGCCGUGUCUGGGUCUAAUACUUCCUAUACGGUGGGUAACGCCACCACCAAACCUUUGUUUGAAGUGUUUCUCUUGGCGUUACAUUUGCAAAGUCUUCACAGUUAAUUUGUCUUCAACCUUGAUUUGAGUUCAUGAUUAUCUUCGCCUUGUUGAUUUGGUCUUACUCAGAUAAAUACAUAUAUUUGUGUUCUGUCCUCUACAGCAUUCACUUAUAGCUAUGUCUCCUCUUUUGAAUCUUUUGGACUAAGUGAAUGUGAUCGGACCCUAAGCUCUUCUAUGCUUCUACCUCAUAUUCUAUCUAUCCAAAUCAUAUGCAUUCUAUUGAAACCGUCGAAUGUCUUCUCUGCGUCCUUGUCAGCAGAAGAAAUAGAGACAAAAGUUGAAUCCGUUUUAAAUGUUGUAUCCUUAUUGCCUGAAACACGGAGAAGCCGGAACGACCACCCGACAGUCUAGGCGAGCGUGGGAACAUGGAACAACUUUCAAUGUGUUGCAUGUUCGCCACGUGUCCCUCGGAUGUGAACCGCCAGGGGCACCUACAUAAUUGCGCUGUCUUGUCCCUCUCCCUAUAAAUACACAUCACAUCACAGUCAAAAUCUUUCUUCCACCUCUCCACCUUGACAAACCCUAGCGCCACGCUAGCUCGCGGCGACGCUGGUGACGAAGCGCUUAGCUGUCGCGACCUCGUCGACGCCGUCCUCAUGCCGGCCGUGGACCUUGUCUCCUCCGCCGCCGCCGUAGGUGUCUUCCGUCGCCAAGUUAGCGCACGGGAGAUUGAACUGCUCGGCCUCCUACUUCGCUCCAUCUAGCAGUUCUUCGUGUGGUAAUUAAAAAUCACUUUUUACUGCCUUUUUGAACCGAUAGAUUCAUCCUUCUCCACCAAAAGUGGUUUCUGUGUCUACAAUUUUCGAUCUAUCAUGUACUGCAUCUCAUAACAUGCCUAGUACGUUCUCUUAUGCUUCACACAUAGUUAGAUUCCUUACUUGUACCUAUUCUUGGAUUCGUACAAAUCUGGAACCAACUCCCAACCAAUAAGUGAAUGUCUUCACGCUAUGAGGUCAAUGUCUUCAAAACUGAUUUAUCUUCAAAAUCUUCUGAGAAUGCAUAUGACCUCUUCCCCUUCCCUCGCAUCUCUAAUGCUGUCACAGGUACAUGUCCGUGGGAGAAUCCCUUGGUUCUCAUAGUCUUCAUUCAUUUGCAGAAUUCUUACAGCAUCACAUCAAUUCUCCCGAAGCUAGUUCUUGUCUGAUCAGCAGACGGAAGCAUUUGCAAGUUUUGAAGCCAUUCAGUUUGAACUACAUGGCCACAGAAAAGUUAGCAAGGAAGGGAGGCAGACAGCGCCACGGGGGUACUUCAAUGGGUUUGCCUGAGGAUCUUUAUGAGUCAUACAAAACUGAUCCCGAAAAGAGCUAUGGCCAAUGCAAAACACGAAUCCAAUGGAUUCGAAGAUAUUGGGUCGAGCAAUGGUUCAAGUACAGGUUUGUCACCAAGGAAUAUGCUGAAAAGAAUGCCAUCAAGCGUCCUUGGGGGGAUAUUCUCUACAACAAUCUUCAACCCAAGACAAGAUCUGAAGCUAUUGCUUAAGGUUUCUACCCUUGCAUGGUCCAAGGACCACAACCUGCAGAUGCCGACCCAUCAUCUCUGUUGCGGUGUCAUGAGGACAGUUUGUUCAAGCGCAACUACAAGUUUGCCAAGGACUCUGCAAUAAAGAACAAGAUGAGCCUCACAUGCAACUUCAAUCCUGGUCCUUCUGCUCCUAGGGCUGAUGGCACACGUGAUGCCCAAUGUCAUCGGGCCCUUCGACAACUUUGAUGGUUUUCUCUCCUACAGCCACUCAGAGGGCCACAGUGGAUCAGUGUGGAGAUGAAGCUGAUUCUGAUGAAGCUCCUGCUCUGCCGAAGCCUCAAAAGCAAAAGAAACCAAAGGCUUCAAAACCUGCUGCUGCACCAAGCACUUCGCGUGCGAAGCCACUAGCCACUGCUCCUCCUGCACCAAGUGUGCAUUCUGAAGAUCUUUCUCGUGUCUCCAAGAAGAAAGAGAAGCCCCAGAAGAAAAUUGUCAAGAGUUCUGGACAAGCACUGACCCCAGCUGCCAUUCUGCGGAAUGAGCAUGAAGCUAUUGAUCUGUCAACUGAUGAUGAGUUUGGUGAUGAUGCUCUUGAGUAGCUGAUUAAGAGCAAGCAAGAGGUGGAGAUCUUCAAUGAUCUGCCCCUUUUCGAUGUGGACAUCUUGAAUAAUUUCAUUGAUGAGUGGUUUGACAACCCAAACCUCAGUUUUGAUGAUCUUCAGCUCCCAAUUGGCCUCAACGUCUCCUUCCACGGAGCCAUUGCUCCUGAGUUGGCUCUAGCUCAGAGAAUAAAAUUGACUAUGAGAAGGCUCGGUUUAAUGAGCACAUGGCCAAGCUCAGUGUGACUGAUAUUCAAAACUUCAAGCAGAUGAUGCAUGAGCUCAAGGAGGCGUUUCACAAGAAACGUGAAUAAGCAAAAGGUUCAAGAGAACGAAUGAAACUCCUCGCUACAAAAUGUGUUCAAUAUCACAAUGAAGCUGAGAAGCGCAAGGCUCUUGGGCGUCCUGGCAUAGACCCCAAGAUGGCUGCCAAAAAGAAGAAGCCUGUUGUGGUCCAAGCUGAAGCAUCAGAGCAGGAAGCACCUCGCAUUGUCUUCCCUGCUAGUAUGACAGGCUCGAAGCCUAAGGUCCCCACAGUUUCUUCAGAACUCAAGAAAACAAGGAAAAUUGAAGCCGAAGCCAGAAAGCGCAAGUCCAAGCACACCACUGAUGAUGCUCCACCGACCAAGAAGAGAAAAACAAAGAAGAAAGAUAGGGUUGCUCCCACAGAGCCCCUUGUCAUCGAGCCAAUCUCAGUCGCUCGUCCUGCGUCCGAACACCGAGAGUGUCAGUUAAUUGUUCAUGAGCCUGCUACCACAGAGGCUCCUGAAGCUGAAGACAUUCCAGCUGUUGACACCACCGCAAUUGAAGACAUUGGUCCCCAAGACAAUGUAAAUGAUGAUGAAGUCCUUGCUCAGAUCGAGCACCAAAUGGUAUCAUCGCCUGUUCUCACGAACAACGAACUCAUCAGCAUUGGUCGUCCAUUGACGCCAAUCGCUCAGGAUGAUUCAUGGGCUGAUCACCCUCAAGUCUUCCCCCAUCGAGAAGAAUCGCCAAGUACUUCCCCAACUCAAGUCACCACUCCGGUGCUUGAUGAUGACGACUUUGUGGCCCAGUCAACUCCCUCUCCAUAGGCGUCGCCCGCGUUUCGCAGGCUUCGCAAAGGUCCAAGGCCACAAGUCACUCUUUCGAGUGUUCCAAAAGGAGAAGGGCACCACAACUCAGUAUCACGCCAAGUGUUCCCUGAAGCCACUCCAACUGCGAACGUCUCAGAAUCUGAAGCCAAAGCUGCUGAAGAUAUACCGGCUGCAUCAGCCGAAGAACAACAAGAAACCUAUUAAGAAGAAGAAGAAUGUGUUGCCACACCCCCUACCAACCAAGCAGUUGUUCUCGAGGAGAACGUGUCCGACCCUCCAGCUACUCAAGUGGAGGUUGAUAAUACUGAGGCGACCACAAACACAAAUACUAAAGCCAAUGACAUUGUCAUGGCUGAAGUAAAUGUGGCACCUAAAGUUACUGUGGCGCCAGAAGUGAAUGCACCUGAAGUCAAUGUUGCACCAGAAGCCAUUAUACCUCUAGCAGCUCAUGUCAAUGUCGAUGCUCCUCUUCCGCCUCCAAGGCCACAAACUAUUGAGAUAACAUUUGAUCGCGGCCAACCUGUCAUGGUUCGCUGGCCCAUUCUGGUUCCUCCUCCUGCUCCUGGACCUCAAUUUGAUUAUCAUGAGGAGCACAGGCCUCAGGUCCAGAAGCCAAAACCCAGGCUGCCUAGGUUUCUAGGUACAACAACUUCACCAGGAUCGUUUAAUGUGAAUGGCUUUGUUGCACACAAUACCUUCUUUGAUAGCGACAAGAACCCAUACUUGAAGCCAAGAAUUUCAUCUGAUCGGUUCUGGAGCUAUCACCAGCGCAGUUACUAUUCUUGUGUUCUUUACGAUCAAGGGCGCAUCUUUCCCCCAUAUGCGUCUAGACUGCGAAGCCAUUGCUGGUCUGCCCUGCUUGGAAGAAGCCCUUGAUUGUUUCAGAGAUGCUGGUCUGCUACAAUUUGUGACUGAUAAAGAGCACUGGAACGAAGAGCUUCUGCUUCAAUUUUAUGCCACCUUCCACAUUCGCGGCUACAACAAGGAUCCGAAGUCAUGGAUCCUUGAUUGGAUGACAGGCAAUGUACACCAUGAAGCCAAAGCUCUUGAUAUUAUUGAGCUCACUGGCCUACCCACUCCAGGUGAACUAUAUGAACCUGGUUGUCAACUUCACCGCAAUGCUUUAAGGAGCAUCUUUCAGAAGCCUGAGCCAAACAUGAGCCAAAUGCUGAGCAUGAUGAAGCCACUGCCACGCGACGCUGAAUAUCCAAGGGAAUUCUUUGUUGAAGACCUAGAGUAUCUGCCGCGCACUAUUUAUCAUAUCAUCAGGCGAACUCUAUGGCCUAUCAAAUGACAUUCUCCUGCAGCAAAGCUUGAAGGAGCAAUGAAGACAUUAGUUUUCUAUAUCUUCAAUGGCAUCAGCUACAAUGCUCAAGACUUCUUCAUCAGGUAAUUGGCUGCGUCUGGCUCUGAUUUAUUUGGUCUUAAGUUCUAUGCUCUAUGGGUUAUGCGCCUCAUCAAGCUUCAUUCUGCUGUCAACUAUCAGCCCUCUGCGCGCAACCACAUUAUCUUCUUACCAGAGGUAGAUAUGUCUGUCGAAGCCAUAUACCUAGAACCUGCCAAGGAGCCCAUUUACCUUCACAAUGUCGAUCGCCAAAGUUUCACUCAACCCAUUGAAGGAGUUCUUGCUGCUACUCGUGUUUAUCCUUUGGCUGGCAAUACUCGUGCACCUCAUCGUGCCCAUACUAAAGCCACUGAAAGCACAAUUGCUCAACGGCCUCGGAAGCGUUCUCGUGUACACAAUGACCGAGAGCUUCUCGUUGCCCUGCAUCGAAAACAGGAUAAGCAUCAUGACUGGCUGAAGCGUCAGAUGCGAAGCCUCUUGGUGAUUGUUAAUCACAUUCGCAACCUCGCCACCAAGAAUGCAUUUGUCACUCAUGAAACCUGUCGGCGGACGUGGAAGGGUCUGACACUGAUAAGCUCUGAAGAUGAUCUUCAACAAGAUGGCUUCACAAAGAGAUUCAAGUUUGAUUCCACUCCUCCCAGGAAUGUUGUCUUGCGUCGGACUCCCUCACUCGAAGAUUCUGUGUACUCCUCCUCUGCAGCAACUGUAAAUGCAAGAGUCGUCGAUGAUGAAGAUGAUGCUACUUCGCCAACUACAACGUCACCGCACAUCGACACUGCACCAAGUUCUUCUGCACUACCGAACCUCAAUGACGACCCUGCUGCUUCCCCUACUUCUCAUGGGAACGAGUAGACGCUCUAUGUCUUCAAACCUUUUUGGUCCUUACUGACAAAAGGGGGAGAAGCAUAUGAGUUGAUAGUCUUCAAGCGGGUCCAUAAGGGUGGUUGAUAUUUUUACUAUACUUUUGCCAAGUGCUUACAACUCUUGCUUUUGAUACUUUUGGUUUUUUGAGUUGUAACACUUAAACUUGAUGAUCGUCUGCUACUUUCUCUGCUAUUCUAUGAUGCGAUGAUAAAUUUCGCAUAUGCGAUGACAAAUCCCGCAUGAGAUCUUUUCGCAGACGUCCAUUUUCCAUUGUGCAUGCCAUUACCUUCAUUAUAUCCUUUCAUGCAUGACGAAUUGUCUUCAUUAGUUGAAGAGGAUCUCCACAAGUACAACCUGCCAUGUGCAUUUGCAUUCAAAAGCAAAAUACUUAUAUGCACAUCUUCAGGGGGAGCCUUUUGCUACUUAUGAAGACAAUAUCUUAAUCCUUUACAAUUUCACAUACUUUUAUCCCCGUUGAAUAUUUCAACCAGUUUGUCAUCAAUCACCAAAAAGGGGGAGACUGUAAGUGCAUCUAGUGCCACCCCUAGUUGGUUUUGGAGUAUUGACGACAAACCUGGUUGAGGGACUAAUGUGUUUGUGAGAAUUGCAGGAUAACACAGGUAGUGGUCCCUCAUUGAUUUGGUUUACCUACCGGAGAUGACCCCUAAAAAUGUGUGAAGACAUUGAAGACAAUGGUGGUAUGUGAAGAUAUUCACAAUAAAGAUUAUGACUUGAGAAUACAUUCACGUGAAGACUAUGGAGUGCGAAGACAUAGCUGUUUUGUAGCUUCCUUUUCUUCUUUGUUGAGUCAUAGGAACCACCGUACUGUUAAAUGGGGUCCAAGUAAACAAAGUCAGAGUGACUGAAGUGAUGCUCAACCAAAUCCUAUGUCUUCGAGCGAAGACAAUGAGAGCAAAUCUUAUCGAGAGUCGGAUAAGUCAGCUUUACUUGUAGCCCAAGUCAAGCUGUCGCGUGUGUUUGAAAUCUGACCGUUGGAACACGUGUCAGUUCCUUAGUGACUCAGGGUCAUUUCAGACAAAUCAGGUCGGGUUGCCUCCUGGCUAUAAAUAGCCCACCCCCUACACCAUAAAUUGGUGGCUGCUCAGAGUUAGUACACGACUUUUGUCGUUUGAGAGCAACCCACCUCCAAAGCAUUUGAGAGAGAGAUCCUUGCGAGGACAAAGCCCAAAACACCCAGAGCCCAAAGAGUGUUUGGUAUCGCUGAAGUCUUUCUGUCUGUGUGACGGCGCCUCGCGGGCGACCUUGCCGGUGACCUCGGGCCUCACCGGUGGCCGCGCAUUGCGUCAAGCAGUUGCCGAACAUCGUCGAAGCGGCCGGAGCGGGUGUACAUCCCCAUUAUGGCACUAAACACCUGCACGGUGGCACCCUCCCCGACGUCGCGGGGGGGGGGGAGGGAGAUCCAUUGCCGCUCUCCAAGAGGCACUCGAAGGCGUCGAGCGCGCGCUGGCAGGAGGCUGCUCACACGGCGCACACGACGUAGGCGAGCUCGUCGGGGGACACCCAGGCGUCGUCGAGCACCUCCGCGACGGGCGUGCCGAGGGGAAUCGGGGCGCGGAAGGUGCGGGAAGCGGAGAUGGGGCCAGCGGAUGGAGGAGUCGACUCGGGGUAGUCGAAGUCGUCGCUGGUGGUGGCGGAGGACGCUCCUGUGGCCCCGGCGGUGGCACGUGGAAGGGAAGGGGAAGGGUAGUGUGGAGGAGACGAUCAUGAGAGCCAUCGGGUCCGAGGGGAAGGGGGUCAGGCGCACAUGGAGGUGGUGGUUGAGUUGGAGGUGUGGUUGCGGCGGGCGCCAUGGCCGGAGGAGAGUGGAGUGGAACGCCCACUCUGCCACUGGACGCGAUAAGGCCAACUCUAACCGAUCUUUCAUGAUGUUGCUGCUGCCGCUGCUCGCUGCCGUCAGCGUAAGCCUCGAUUAGUGCUUGCGUCGCGUGGUCACCAUGAUCGCCACUGGCCACGGAGGCGCACAACAAGUGUUCGACGAAAUGUAUGAGCCAUAUAUAACUUUAUUCCGUUACGUUUAGGGGAUCAACUAGGUCCACCAAAACUUAGUGAAGUAAAAAUACGCUACCAAAGAUUUACUCCGCCGGAACCUUCUUUAUUUUUAUGAAAUCAGUUAGAGUUGCCCUUAGCGCAGAUGGCAACUAGUCUUGAAGAGGGGCGCCAUCUCUCGCUGGCUACCCCCUUUAAAUCUUUGUAUUCUCAUGGACAUUUUGAUUUACUAAUCUGACUACAAAAACUAUAGACGGUCGCAUAUAUUUUAAAACAGUUGGUCGUAUAUAUAUACUCCCUCCGUUCUUAAAUAUUUAUCUUUUUAGAGAUUUCAAAUUGACUAUCACAUACGGAUGUAUAUAAACAUAUUUUAGAGUGUAUAUUCACUCAUUUUGCUUCGUAUGUAGUUAUCUGUUGAAAUCUCUCGAAUGACAAAUAUUUAGGAACGGAUGGAGUAGUAUAUUUUUCCGGCAAAAGUAGUACGUAGACAAACAGUUGCUUCAUGUAGAACAAUACACUGGAGAACAAGGGCAAAUACGAGCACUAGCUAGGCAGAGGCGCAGAGCUUAUUGUACACGUUGCAUUGGAUAGCUGACAAAUCCUCCAUGCAUGUCCGCACGCCGAAAUGCUAGUACCACUAGACAGUACAUCGCGCACACACUUGAAGAAAACACACCGUAGCUAGCUCGCGUCCAUGCCUCCGUGCGUCACUUCCAUCCCUACACGAGAACCGCGACUGCGGCGACAGGGCCGGCAGUGCGCAGGACGUGGAAGUAGAGCUGCCUCUUGGCCAGGAACGCCACGCGGGAUAUGACGAAGCCGGCGGCGCCCGGCGCGUUCAUCAUGGCGCCGGUGGUGGCGGGGGCGGCGGCCGCGGGCCAGAGGAAGUAGAUGCUCACGGCGCCCCCGAGGACCAUCGCCGCGGCUUUCACGGCGCCUUCGCGCGUGGAAACCGCUGCCGCCGCCUGGUUCUUGAAGUGGCCGAGGCCCGCGGCGAGGUCGGCCGUGUUCAUCUCCGCCAGCUUUCGGCGGAGGUCCGCCGGCCUAGCUGACGAGACGGUGGAUGCCAUGGCCUUCGCCUGUUGCUUGACGCUGUCAAGACUUCCGGAGAUCAGCUCCCGUGUGUUCAUCGCGGUCAGUUUUGGGUGCAGGUUCUUCUUGGCCGGCGAGAUGGACAUGGACCGUGUCUGAUGCAAAAAUUACAGAGACGUGGGAAGGUGAUAUUAUGGGAGGAAAGGAAUCAACGGUGAUGGAAGGUGACGCGGUGCGUAUGAUGUCACGCGCUGUCACCUAGUGGAGGAAUCCCAUGCGAAAGACACCUAGUUGGAUUAACAAAGUUCUUAUCGUUAAGCUCUCCACUUCAGCAGUACAAGUGUGUCCCCCCUCGUUGGUUUGUCCUUCACCCUAUUAAAAAUACUUUGCAUACCAAAUAACUGGACUUGUUAGCAACACUAGUCUACGUCUAGACCGACGACGACGACCUCGACUAGUCCACUUUCUUCAUCUAAAAGCAACCCUAGUCAUCUCACCAAAUAAACAAAAAAACAAUCAAAUAAUCGAUCCUUAAAGGGACAACAACAUCAUAUCAGUGGCAAGUGGCAAUAGGCCCCACACGCGGGCACAAUCGCACAAGGCUUUACCCAAAAGAAAAAAACAAUCGCACAAGGCUUGAAGCGCAUCUACGGCCGGGCGUGACGCGGAAGGGAACUCUUCUACCCAGUUUAAUCCGCUGCGGCAACAAGUGUAUUUGUGAAUUACAAAUCUAAACUUAAAAAGAGAAAAAACUCUAUUUUGUCGCUCAAUUCAUUGGGAGAUGCGGGUUUCACCGUUUGUCUCUACUCUUAUAAAAAACCGAAUUGGUGAUGAUGUGUGCCUGCCAUCUUGUAAUAUGGACCGUUCGAUCUAUAUCUGACGGACAGAAAGCAAACUAUGACAAUUUUACAAAAGAUACCCGCACAUCUCUUAACAUUUACAGAUAAGGCCUUGCCUCGUUCAUCCUUAUCUCCCACAACCUCAUUGCUGAGCAGUUAAAUAAGGAAAUCUCUGGAACAAUCUGGCAUGGUGGCCGCUGCCGGCGCCGUCCAUCCCCAUGCCUCCGCCCAGUCCGACCACCAGUCACCACCACGCCCCACUCCUCCUCAACUUAUCUCUCAUCUUUCUCGAGAUAUAAUUUUUUUUGAUGAAAUUCUCGAGAUGCCAUUUUUUCGAUAAAAUUCUCGAGAUAUCAUUAGUUUUUACACAAGGGAUUACUCCUGCAUGGAUCAAUCACAACAGGCGUUUUGUAAAAAAAAUGUAUCUUGAUGUUCCGUGCAAUGCACGAGCAUCUUGCUAGUCAACUUCAAAAUCGGAUAAGCUGGACCUUAAAUGUUCCAACCCAACAAGUUCGAUCAUGCAAAACAACAUCAGUGAAGACAUGAUGCAACCAUCCUAUCUCUCAUUGGUUCUUGAUGCUUUGGUUUCUUGUAACCAACAGAAGGAGUCUACAGGAGUUGCAUAAUUUCUUCUCAACUAAUGCGGAAUUAAGGAGGAAAAGAAGAUUUUGAGAGUGUAUACUUAACCUUAUGUCUGUAGUAACUCAAUGAUAUGUUUGGACUACCUGUUGGAUUUACAAUGAUGUUUAAGCCAAAUUAUACUACACCAUAAGUUUCACAAAUUUUGUACCAACAUAUUGAUGUGUGGCACCCCUAUUAUACUACACAAAAAGUGCAUGUAUGUGGACCUUACUUGUGUGUUUCUAUAAUGGAUUUGAUGUGCCUAGUGUAGCAAAUGGUGGUGUGGUGUCUUGGACUGCCUGAGUAAUGACUAUGCAUUGGUUAUGCCAAGUUUGCCUUGGUUCUUGUUGUCUUUCAUGUUUGAUGACCAGGCAUCAAUUCAACAAUCCUUCUUGCAAGAGGCAUCCCCUGCCGGCCCCUACCCCGUCAUGCAUGGUGUAUUCAACGAUAUUAGGAUCAUGGCCAUUUGUGUGGGUAGCUAAUGUGAUUUUUUGAUAUGACAGAUGUUAGCUCCAGUCAUGCUAGUUUGGUUUUAUAUUGUCUCUUUAUUGCGACCAUAGAGCAACGACCUCGAUAUGUGAAAGAUUAAAGACAUUGUCUUCAACUAACCUUGAUGCAGCCUUCAGUUUUGAGAUAGUAUGAUUGUUCAUAUUUAUUUUUGUUUCUUUUAUGUAUGUACCAUUUGAACCUCUCUUUCAUAUGUGUAUUUUUUACGCAAUAAAAAUCGCCAUCCGCUAUCCAGAGAUAAUGGAGAAACAAGUUUCACAUUCAUUUUUUCAAAGAAAGAAGAAGAAAAAGUGCCACCUAGCACGAGCACCGACCAUAGCGAAAGAGUCCAAACACGAUUGGUAGCAAGAAUGGCACAAAAAAGUGAGGGUAAACCAAAUGCCUCUGCAUCAAUUGACACAUUCGUUAUUUAUCAAAAAUCUUCACGAACGGUCUCCAUGGAAUCCCCUAGCGCAACACCCUAUGAGUCAUUUGAUUUGCUUUUGCGGCCACUCGUGCCAUAGUCGUGAUGGAAGCGUGACAUCAAGACAACAACAUGGUCACUUCAUGUGGUGUCUGGCAAUAUAGACACCCCACUAUAGAUGUGUUCUUAUUACCAAGUUUCAUGGUCUCACAAACCGCAUAAAUAAACGAGGCUGGGACAUCGCCUCCUAAAAUGAGGACAUGUCUAUCAUCGCCUUGCGGCCAGUACGACUAGUGGGAUCAGUGUUUUGGGUCGGCGAGGCGGCAACGGGGAUCCAACCAAUGGAUUCUAUCCUCCGAGACUACCUCUGUCAGGGGUGUUUCCUCUAGCACAACUCAAGAGCUCGUGAGGAUUUUACACAAGUGAAUCAAUCGGCAGUGUCGAUCUAUCUAGCAAUGAAAGCGCAUGCGGGGAUGCUAGCUUUUCAAUAUCAAGGGAUGUGUCCUGAAGGCGGUAGAUCAGGCGUUUUGCUCCGACUUUGUCGACGACAAUCAACGGAUCUAGACUCGAAAGGUAUGGGGAUAAUCCCGGGUUAACACACCACAACAACAUCCAUCGAUGAUUGUCCUCUUGUUCUGGCGAUGAUGUGCAAUGUGGAUGGCACUCGAAGAAAAUUCUAUGGACUUUGUUGUAAUUUAUUUUCUUUUUUUAGAAGAACAGGGAGCACCUCCCCGGUUCUAUUGCUCAGAAUGAAACCACACAACCAACCAAGUCUGUUACAGAAGCACAAAAAGAGCAGUUCAAAAUAAAAAGCAGAAAACGAGCUAGCUAGUAAGUAGCAUUAUUACAAGGGCCACCAGCAGGGCCAAGUCUCACUAAAGAGCUAAGGAGAAGAGCUUUUCAACGGACACAGGGAGGAUCCAGCGUUGCCUUCAUGGUCUUCGGACGUGGAGCAGCGUCCGCCUGCGGUGACCAGCAAGCGAUAAGAGUAGACACCGGGCUAGAUGGGACAACAUUGUGGAUAUCUCUCUUCUUUGGCGACAUGAGCCCUUCACCGUCUUUUGAGAUCUUCAGCUUUUACCAGGGAUCCAGCCCCAGAGAAGAGCAUGGUUUGCUCAGCCACUUGUGAUCUCCAAAGGUCUCUGAAGGUACAUUGCGAGGAACCCCACAAAGGUCAUUAGCUUUACUUUGUCUGAUCCCAAGGAGAGGAUCAUCCAGUUCCUCACUGUGCUCAAGAUCAAUCUCAAGACCUGAGGAACAGAAAUCCAGGUGGUGUUAUCAAAAUCAUAGCAUUUCUAUAUUUCCAGACACACCACAGGACUGUUGAGCUAACAGUAUUCAAAACAUAGCACUGCUUGUUAGCAAUCCAGAAUCUAGCAACAUAUUCAAAGGAAGAGCCAAUCUGAGUGUUGAAGUAAUCAACAGGGACCCAAAGGUGCUUGGCAACAAUGCAAUCAAAGAAAAGGUGGGAUCAGGAUUCUUGCUCCAAACAAUAGACACAUUCAAGGGGUUUGAUGAUGUGUCUUUUUCUAAGAUUAUCCCUGGUCAUCAGCUUGUUGUUAGAGAGGAGCCAGAGAAAGACAUGAAUUUUGGGGGGAACUCUCAACUUCCAGACUGCUGGGAUGAAAAUAGGCUGAACCCCCCUAAAAUUAAUAAUAUGCUAGAGGGAGCUAGAGGAGUAUUGCCCCCUGUUUUCUAAUUGCCAGAUCGGAGAAUCUAUCUCAUCAAAAAAGACAAUACUCCUAGCAAUUUCCUCCAGCUGGAACCAUUGUUCCAUAAGUUUGUCACUAAAGUUCCUUCUGAAAGAGAGUUUGAGGCAUUGCCCAUCCCAGAUCUCAUUUACACAUUUAUUUUGUUCAUUGCAGAUCGAAUAGAUAGGCCAAAAUUGGACAACUAGAGGGGAAGUGCCAAACCGGGUAUCUUCCCAGAACCUGGUUUUGCCCCAUCCCCAAUGCUCCAUCUGUAACCAAAUUUCACAUCAUGGAUAAUAGACUUCAACCCUUUCCAGAAUCUAGAGAUUUUCUGGUUGGAGGAGGAGGCAAAGAUGUUAGGCUUAUUGGCCAAGUAUUUGUGCUCAAUAAGCAUCUUCCAGGGUUUUUGGUCUGUCUCAUAGUAUCUUUUGAUCCUGGAUCCUAACAAACAAAUGUUAAUUUCUUGGAGAUUGGGAAUGCCCAAACCUCCAAACUCCUUUUUCAUGGAGACCAGCCCCAAGUUAGCUAGGUGAAUCUUUCUAUGUCCUUCAAAAUCAUUCCACAGGCAAUGGGACAUCUGUGAGUUGAUGAGACUAACAACCCAUUUAGGGAAUUUGAAGAAGGAAAGGAGGUACACAGGAAUGCUAGCAAGGUAGGCUUGAAUGAGGAUCAACCUACCUCUGUAAGACAGGAGUUUUCCUCUCCAUCCUGCAAUCCUCUUAAUGAUUUUGUCUAAAAGGGGCUGGAUGUCUUCUCUCCUAAGUGUAUCAUAAUGGAGAAGGAUGCCUAAAUAUUUAAUGGGAAAGCUACCACUACUGCAAACUAAAAUGUUUAGAAAGCCAACCAGUUCUUGGUCAUCCAUAUUGAUGGGAAUGAGCUCACUUUUGGAGUAGUUAAUUCUCAUGCAUGAAACUUGAUCAAUGCAAGUCAAAACAAUUUUAAAGUUGCUAGCAUGAUUUAAGUCAUUAUCUAGAAAGAGGAUUGUGUCAUUUGCAUAUUGAAGACAGAUGAUCCCACCAGGGAAAACCUCAGGGCAAAGGCCAGCAAUUAAGUUGUGAUCAACAGCCUUGCUCAACAUUUUUGGUGAGUACAUCAACAACCAGGUUAAAAAGAAGAGGUGAAAUAGGGUUACCUUGCCAAAGACCUUUACGAGCUAGGAAAUAAUCACUCUCACAACCAUUUAACUUUACCCCAAUAGACCCCCCAUGAGUAAGCUGAUGGAUCCAGCUAGACCAUUUCUUCCAAAACCCCCGAGCUCCAGGAGUUCCAUGAGGAAAUUAAGGUCUACUUUGUCAAAGGCUUUUUCAUAGUCCAAUUUUGGAACAAGGCCUUUUUUAUUCCCAGAGUGGACAGAGUGAAGGACUUCAUGAGCAGUGACCACACUUUCAAGGAUGUAUCUCCCUUUGAGGAAUGCAGAUUGAUUGCUAGCAAACAAUCUCUGCAAUACUUUAGAGAGCCUAGUGGUGAGUACUUUAGAGAAAAUUUUAAAACUACGGUUAAUCAGACUGAUAUGUCUGAUUUUUUUCACAGAGGUGGCUUUAGGCUCUUUAGGGAUAAGAGACAAUAUUGCAAAGUUUAGUCUAAAUAUAUCUAGCUCCCCUCUAUGAAAGACCUGAAAGAGGUCCAUAAUGUCCUUCUUGAUCAAGUCCCAAAAGUGUUGGUAGAAAAGGAAAGGAAUUCCAUCAGGAGCAGGGGAUCCAUCUGGAUAGGAGCUGGAAACAGCUUCCUUCACUUCUGCUUCUGAAAAUGGAGCUUCAAGCAGCUCAUUCUGAGAAUGGGAAAAUUUAUCAGAAACAGAGAAGAAGUUUUCUUGAAUAGAGAAACUAGAGGGGUUUUCUUUCUUGAAAAGCUCUUUAUAAAAUUCACUGGCCACUUUUAGCAUUUCACUAGUACCAGUGACAGGACCAUUAGGACCAUCCAGAGAGUGAAUGAGGGUCUUCCUCCUCCUCUGAUUGGCAACAACAUGAAAAUAGGCAGUGUUUCUAUCCCCCUCCUUAAUAUCCCUAUCUCUAGAUCUUUGUUUAGCUUUAAUCUCUUCCUGGAGCCAGAUUUUCUUUUGUUCACCAUGAACAGAGUUCAACCUGGCAAGCUCAGCCUCAGUGAGGUCAGAGGUUUCAGCCUUAAUAUCUAGAGAAUCAAAUUCAAGGAGAAGAAUCCAUUUAUACCUCCUAAGAUUGGCCUCCUCAUUGGAGUUCUAGCCUUUAGUAGUUUUCCUAAAUCUUCUAAUUUUGAUUUUCCAGCUUUCUAGAGGACAGCUACUCCCAGUGGGUUCGAACCAGAUCUUCCUGACUAAUUCAGAAAAAUCCUCUCUUAUGAGCCACCACUUUUCAAACUUAAAGCUGUCGUUUUUAGGAUCUUGGUUAAUUCCAGAGUCCCAAAGCAGAGGGGUAUGAUCACUGCCACAUCUGGGCAGAGCUCUACAACUAGAAAGAGGAAAUAGCCCAUCUAAUUCUAUGUCACAAAAGAUUCUAUCAAUGGUGGACAUAAUCAAAUCUUUUUGAUUAUUGGCCCAGGUAAAUUUCCUAGAAGAGAGCUUAAUUUCAAGUAAGCUCCAUAUCUCAAUCCAGGCAUUGAAUUUAUCACUCCACUUAUGGUUAAUAGAACCAUUGCUUUUAUCCUCAGCAUUCCUGACCAGAUUGAAGUCACCCACAAUCAGAGUAGGAAUGUGGGCAUCUAGAAAUAAAGUAUGAAGUUCAGAGAUAAAAGCUCAUUUCCCUUCUUCAUAGGGAGAGCCAUAAACAGUAAUAAUCCUAAAAGUAUGCCCAGUAGUUUUCAACUUUACUAGACAACUGAUAGAAAACUCUAAGUGGGACCAAGAAACAAUAUAAAAAAUGCUUAAAUCUAUUCCCAUCAGGAUGCCUCCAGCACAUCCUUUAGAUGGAAGUGAGUGCCAGUCAAAAUCCCUAUACCCAGUAAGGGAUUUAAGAUAAGAAGUAGAGAAGUCCUCCUUGGUUUCUUGAAAACCUAGGACAGUAGCAUGAGUUUUAUUGAUAGUAUCAACUAUGAGAGACUCCCAGGGGCUGCAAUCCACCUAACAUUCCAAAAGAGGGCAUUCAUGGGAAGAUUUUGUUCCUGGGGUGCUUGCCCCACCUAUGUUUGCAAAUAAGAGACCAAAGCCCCUCACUAGAAUUAGCAGGAGGGUCUAUGCAAUCUAAACUAGGGUUGCUAUCAAAAGGAAGAUUUCCAGUAACAGAACCUUCAGUUCUGAUUUGUGGAAGAUUAGUAACAGAAGAGCACUUGUUAUCAUCAUUAAGAUAGGUAAUAUCUACACCAAUCAUAGAUGCAAUGACAUUAAAAGAAGGAUCAUUAAAGAAAGAGAAGGACUUGUGUUUCAUACCCAGGGGUUAUUGAACUUCAAGAUUCUGAACCUCUUUGAGUUGUCUGGCUUUUUCAAUGAUAGUUCUCUAUUUACUAACCACCCUAGAACUGGCUCUAGUGGCCUAGACAGGGCCCCAUUUAGUAGGAUGCAAGUCUUUGGGUAGAGCAGGGAAGUCAGAGUCAUAUUGUGGAUCCACAUUGUUUGACAGAUCAGCAUCUUGAGAGAGUGAGUCUUGAUCCUCUUAUAGAUCUAAAGAUCCUUCUAAUCUGUCAGGUCAUCAUCUUCUAGCAGCCCCAUUUCUCUGAGUAGAUUAAAACCAUCAGCAUCUUCAUGUACAGAGUUCAGGAUAUUUUCAAGGUUGUUGACUUGAGGAGUGUAAGGAGAUUCAGGCAGCUGUCUUUUUAAGACUGAUGUGGGGGUAACAUCUCCAAGCAAAUGAUUGUGUCCCAAAGAUUGCCCUCUGAAAUUAUGAGCCCCUGAGCCAGUUGUAGGACCUCUGUCAGAAUCGGCCCUAGAGCUCCUGUUGGACUUAGCAUCUUCAGAGGUGUUGUUUCAAGGCUCAGCAGUAGACACAUAGGUCCCAGAGGAAGGGUUGGUGGAUGUGCAUGUAUCAGUGACAGUCACGGGUGGUUCCACUUCAAUCAGGAGCCUGUAUAUUUUAUCAUCCACACCAAACAAUCUCUCUGCAGGGAUUUUGGAGGGACCUUUGCAGGAGAUUUUGACCCUGACAGUUUCAUAGAAGGACUUGAAAUUAUGUUGCCAAUCCACAUUCAGCAUCACACCCAAUGUAGAAGUGAUUUGGUCAAGCAUAGACUAAUCACACCACUUUUGGUUCAUUUUCCUAAUUUUGAUCCAAGUUUCCUGGAGAUCAUCUUCAGCCUCAAUCCUGCCUUUCCAGAGUUCAACAUUGACAACAACAUUGUCUUUUUUGAGAUCAAAACAAGGAUAUCCAGCAACUUGCACUACAUCCAUCUCAAGAGGGAACUUGACCAGAAAUGUCCAUUCAUCCUGAGCAUUAUAAUUGGCCAAGGCCAGUUUGUUUUGUAUAUGUCAGCAAACUCAUUGGCAAGCUCCCGCUUGGACACUUCACCAGCCUCAACAAGAACAAUGCCUACAUUUUUCAGUGAGCCAUGAUAUUGAGCAUUAUCUUCAGGGGGUCAAUGUGGCAGAAACCUAAACCAGGAGUGACACUUCCCACAUAUCUAGCAGAGUUGUGAGGCUUCCUUCUGAUAGGACAAUUAUCCACCUUGUGGGUGACUGCCGGUGUCAAAACCGGCGGAUCUCGGGUAGGGGGUCCCGAACUGUGCGUCUAGGCGGAUGGUAACAGGAGACAAGGGACACGAUGUUUUUACCCAGGUUCGGGCCCUCUCGAUGGACGUAAAACCCUACUCCUGCUUGAUUAAUAUUGAUGAUAUGGGUAGUACAAGAGUAGAUCUACCACGAGAUCAGAGAGGCUAAACCCUAGAAUCUAGCCUAUGGUAUGAUUGUUGUUCUAUCCUACGGACUAAAACCCUCCGGGUUAUAUAGGCACCGAAGAGGGUUAGGGUUACACAGAGUCGGUUACCAUGCUAGGAGAUCUACAUAUCCGUAUCGCCAAGCUUGCCUUCCAUGCCAAGGAAAGUCCCAUCCGGACACGGGACGAAGUCUUCAAUCUUGUAUCUUCAUAGUCCAGGAGUCCGGCCAAAGGCUAUAGUCCAGCCAUCCGGACACCCUCUAAUCCAGGACUCCCUCAGUAGCCCCUGAACCAGGCUUCAAUGACGACGAGUCCGGCGCUCAUAUUGUCUCCGGCAUUGCAAGGCGGGUUCCUCCUCCGAAUACUUCAUAGAAGAUUUUGAACACAAGGAUAGUGUCCGGCCUUGCAAAAUAAGUUCCACAUACCACUGUAGAGAGAAUAAUAUUUACACAAAUUCAAUCUGCUGACGUAUUUUGUGGCGUGACAUCACACCACGGCCAAGCUUUUAUUCAAAUCGUUUUUACUGUCCCACCUCAGCACGUUUAGCGAGGCGGUUUCCUUGGCACGUCUUGUCAAAGCAGAGAUCGUGUCCCCUUAUCCCGGGAUUCUCAUCAAUACGGGCGUGGGUAACCCAACCGCGCCAUUGAUUACGGCGCUUGGGAGAUAAGCGAGUUUUACCAGGCUGGUGGGGACGCAUAGCUUCGUCCGUCCAUAUAAGGGGAUAAGGAUCCACCUUUUUACCUACGCCUUCUUCCUCCUUUGCUCAUCCAUUUCCGCGCACUCGAGCUCCAGCGCCCAAGUCCGCACAUCUCACCUCAACCUUCCCCAGUCAUGUCCGGAGCGGGAGGCAAGUGGAUGGCCUCCUCCGUCACAGAGGGGCACAUUAAAAGGCUUCGGAAGGCCGGAUACUUGUCCAGUGACAUCGCGCAUCGGCUCCCCGACAAGGGGCAACUUAUCCCCACCCCCAGGCCCCAUGAGAGGGUGGUGUUCCUCACCCACUUCCACUGCGGACUAGGUUUUCCACUUCACCCAUUUGUCCGGGGGCUCAUGUUCUACUACGGCCUGGAUUUCCACGAUCUGGCCCCGAAUUUCAUCCUCAACAUCUCGGCGUUCAUCGUCGUGUGCGUGGCCUUCCUCCGCAUCCAGCCUCACUUCAGCUUAUGGCUGAAGACCUUCGAUGUCAAGCCGAAGGUUGUGGGCGGCCGCCAAGCGGAGUGCGGAGGUGCCAUGGUGGGCAAGAUGGCCAACGUCCUAUGGCUCGAGGGCUCCUUCGUGGAGACCAUAAAGGGGUGGCAAUCGGGGUGGUUCUACAUCACCGAGCCGCGUGACCCUAAAUGGUUGGCGGCCCCCGAAUUCCGAUCUGGCUUCCCUACACGGCUCACCUCUUGGAAAGAGACGGGCCUGACAUGGGGUAAUUCGGAAGAGCUGACCGGACUCCAAUCCUGCGUCCAAAACCUGGUGAGGAAGAAGCUCAAGCUCGUCAAUGUAGUCCAGGUCAUGCUCAUCCACCGGAUCCUCCAGUGCCAACAACGGGCCUUCAACUUGUGGGAGUUUGAUCCGGCACAGCACCAAACCUUGUGCAGGCUCUUCGACACUACGUAUGAAGAUGCCUGGAAGGUGCUGUUCAAGGGCGCCGAGGCUCCCACAUCCGCUACCGAAGAACGCGGAUUUAGCUCGCAGCGUCAAGCCGGCGAGGUAAGCUAUUUUACCCUUUACAGGACACUUGUUUUUCAUAGUUUGACUCUAUGUGGGAUCUAAACUCCCUUACCUUUGACAGGCCUGGCAAAAGACGUCCGGGCAGGUUAAUUGUCCGGCUCCCUUGCCAGAAGACCCAGCGGACGCCCAAUUAAUGGGGCUGCUGGUUCCGGCGCCUUACAUGGUGCCGGAGUAGAAGGCCGAGAAGAAGGCCACGGGAACUUGAAGGAGUUCCCGGCGCCAGGUGUUGUCGGACUCAUCGUCCGAUGACUCCGAGGCGGACUCCUCCCGCGAAGACGAGGAGGAGGAAAAAGAGGCCUCUCCCCCAGUGGGGGGAGAGAAGAAAAGGAAGGCCGCCCCAACUGGGGAGGCCGGAGGGUCCAAGAAGGGAAGGACCCUUCCUCCGGACGACUCUACCAACGCCAAAGACGGCGAAGAGGAGUGGCCACCGAGGGUUAAGCCCCUGGCGAAAUCGUAAGUGUCCGGAUACCAGAAUAACUCAUGGCGUUUCAUUUGUCGCACAGUAUCUCCUAACGUCGAAUAUAACCCUGCAGCCCGCCCAAGGACGAGAUCAGCGCUUCAACGAGCGGCUACCUGGCUUCGUCGGACGUGAAUAGCACCUCACUUCCGGCUGCCUCCUCUCCUCGCGCUGCGGAUGACGCCGAGGUGGGGUCCCAAAAGGGGCCCAGCCAGGAGGAGGUGGUCCAGGAGGCGUCGCAAGGCAACCUCCCGGACUCCAAGCGAAGGGGGAUAAAACCCCAAAGGGUUCUAAGUUCGUCCCUGGGCCGGACUCCGCACCGGAACCUUCAGUGGUUCCGGAGCCCGGCAGGCGGCCCUUUCGUAAGAAGGGAGAGACUGCGACACCGGUGACCUCCGUCCAACCGGAGGCACCGGAUAACUUGCUGGAGGCGCUUAACAGCGCCUCCAUCGACGAGGAGCACCGCACUGUUAUGAGUGUGGUGAUCCAGAAAUUCAGUCUGCGAAGAGUGGGCUGACUGAAGCUUGUGCCAGCCUUCUAACAGGCUUUGAGGUAUGUAUUUAAGAUAUGUAAAAAUAUUACCGCAUAGACAGUAGCCCCUGAUGCUCAGUUUGGUGUUCGGAAAGAAAAGCCGAACUGAGGAUCUAAAAAGAUGUACGCAGGAGUCUAACAUAAGUAUGUCAAUAUGGCAAAUGUAGGCUGCGCUGCUGACGUCUACCGCACUGAUUGCGGAGGUCAAUGCAUUGAAGCAGAGCCGCGAGCGGUCCGAGAACGAGCUCGGCCUUGCCAAAAAGUAGCUCGAGGACAAGGAAGGUAAGCAAGACCUUAUGGAAGUAUAUAAAAGAUGUGGUUGCAAAAAAUGACAGGAAUAACGUGAGUAUUGCAGGGGCCACGAACGAGGUGGCGACCCUGAAGGAAGCGGUUGUUGGGGAACGUUGCAGAAAAUUAAAAUUUUUCCUGCGGUUUCACCAAGAUCCAUCUAUGAGUUCAUCUAAGAAACGAGUCAAGGGAGAGAGUUUGCAUCUACAUACCACUUGUAGAUCACGAGCGGAAGCUAGCCAAGGGGAUGGUGAUGAUGGAGUCGUACUCGAACGUGAUUCGGAUCACCGAUGUCCAAGUGCUGAACGGACAGCACCUCCGCGUUCAACACAUGUACGGGACGGGAGACGUCUCCUCCUUCUUGAUCCAGCAAGGGGGAAGGAUAGGUUGAGGAAGAUUGCUCCAACGGCAGCACGACGGCGUGGUGUAGUUGGUGCAGCAGUACUCCGACAGGGCUUCGCCAAGCAUAUACGGAGGAGGAGAGGUGUUGGGGAGGGGAGGGGCUGCGCCUUGGCUUGUGUUAAGCUCCCAUGCGCCUCCCCACUAUAUAUAGGGGUGGAGGGGCUGGUUUCUUGCCCUCCAAGUCCAUUGGGGCGUUGGCCAAGGUGGGAGGAAAGAAAUCCCAUCAUUUCCUUCCCCACCGAUUGUUAUCCCCCCUUUUUAGGGAUCUUGAUCUUAUCCCUUCGGGAUAUGAUCUUAUUCCUUCUAAGGGGGGAUCUUGGUGCGCCUUGACCAGGGGUGUGGGGCCUUUCCCCCACUACUCACGUUCAUGUGGGUCCCCCCAUGCAGGUGGGCCCCACUCCAGAACCUUCUAGAACCUUCCCGGUACAAUACCGAAAAAUCCCGAACAUUUUCCGGAGUCCAAAAUAGGACUUCCCAUAUAUAAAUCUUUACCUCCGGACCAUUCCAAAACUCCUCGUGACGUCCGGGAUCUCAUCCGGGACUCCGAACAACAUUCGGUAACCACAUACAAACUUCCUUUAUAACCCUAGCGUCAUCGAACCUUAAGUGUGUAGACCCUACGGGUUCGGGAGACAUGUAGACAUGACCGAGACGUUCUCCGGUCAAUAACCAACAGCGGGAUCUGGAUACCCAUGUUGGCUCCCACAUGCUUCUCGAUGUUGUCAUCGGAUGAACCACGAUGUCGAGGAUUCGAUCAAACCCUGUAUACAAUUCCCUUUGUCAAUCGGUACGUUACUUGCCCGAGACUCGAUCGUCGGUAUCCCAAUACCUUGUCCAGUCUCGUUACCGGCAAGUCACUUUACUCGUACCGUAAUGCAUGAUCUCGUGGCCAACACUUUGGUCACCUUGAGCUCACUAUGAUGAUGCAUUACCGAGUGGGCCCAGAGAUACCUCUCUGUCAUACGGAGUGACAAAUCCCAGUCUCGAUCCGUGUCAACCCAACAGCUACUUUCGGAGAUACCUGUAAUGCACCUUUAUAGUCACCCAGUUACGUUGUGACGUUUGAUACACCCAAGGCACUCCUACGGUAUCCGGGAGUUACACAAUCUCAUGGUCUAAGGAAGAGAUACUUGACAUUGGCAAAGCUCUAGCAAACGAACUAAACGACCUUUGUGCUAUGCUUAGGAUUGGGUCUUGUCCAUCACAUCAUUCUCCUAAUGAUGUGAUCCCAUUAUCAACGACAUCCAAUGUCCAUAGCCAGGAAAUCAUGACUAGCUGUUGAUCACAACGAGCUAGUCAACUAGAGGCUCACUAGGGACAUAUUGAGGUCUAUGUAUUCACACGUGUAUUACGAUUUCCGGAUAAUACAGUUAUAGCAUGAAUAAAAGACAAUUAUCAUGAACAAUGAAAUAUAAUAAUACUUUUAUUAUUGCCUCUAGGGCAUAUUUCCAACAGUCUCCCACUUGCACUAGAGUCACCAAUCUAGUUACAUUGUGAUGAAUCGAACACCCAUAGAGUUCUGGUGUUGAUCAUGUUUAGCUCGCGAGAGAGGUUUAGUCAACGGAUCUGCGACAUUCAGAUCCGUAUGUACUUUGCAAAUUUCUAUGUCUCCAUCUUGAACAUUUUCACGGAUGGAGUUGAAACGACGCUUGAUGUGCCUGGUCUUCUUGUGAAACCUGGGCUCCUUGGCAAGGGCAAUAGCUCUAGUGUUGUCACAGAAGAGUUUGAUUGGCCCCGACGCAUUGGGUAUGACUCCUAGGUCGGUGAUGAACUCCUUCACCCAAAUCGCUUCAUGCGCUGCCUCCGAGGCUGCCAUGUACUCCGCUUCACACGUAGAUCCCGCCACGACGCUCUGCUUGCAGCUGCACCAGCUUACUGCUCCACCAUUCAACAUAUACACAUAUCCGGUUUGUGACUUAGAGUCAUCCGGAUCUGAGUCGAAGCUAGCGUCGACGUAACCCUUUACGACAAGCUCUUCGUCUCCUCCAUAAACGAGAAACAUGUCCUUUGUCCUUUUCAGGUACUUCAGGAUAUUCUUGACUGCUGUCCAGUGUUCCUUGCCGGGAUUACUUUGGUAUCUAGCUACCAAACUCACGGCAAGGUUUACAUCAGGUCUGGUACACAACAUGGCAUACAUAAUAGAUCCUAUGGCUGAAGCAUAGGGGAUGACACUCAUCUCUUCUUUAUCUUUUGCCGUGGUCGGUGACUGAGCCGAGCUCAAUCUCACACCUUGUAACAUAGGCAAGAACCCCUUCUUGGACUGAUCCAUUUUGAACCUCUUCAAAAUCUUAUCAAGGUAUGUGCUUUGUGAAAGACCUAUGAGGCGUCUCGAUCUAUCUCUAUAGAUCUUGAUGCCUAAUAUGUAAGCAGCUUCUCCAAGGUCCUUCAUUGAAAAACACUUAUUCAAGUAGGCCUUAAUGCUGUCCAGAAAUUCUAUAUUAUUUCCCAUCAAGAGUAUGUCAUCUACAUAUAAUAUGAGAAAUGCUACAGAGCUCCCACUCACUUUCUUGUAAACGCAGGCUUCUCCAUAAGUCUGCAUAAACCCAAACGCUUUGAUCAUCUCAUCAAAGAGAAUAUUCCAACUCCGAGAUGCUUGCACCAGCCCAUAAAUGGAUCGCUGGAGCUUGCAUACUUUGUUAGCGUUCUUAGGAUCGACAAAACCUUCCGGCUGCAUCACAUACAGUUCUUCCUUAAGAUGCCCAUUAAGGAAUGCUGUUUUGACGUGCAUCUGCCAUAUCUCAUAAUCAUAGUAUGCGGCAAUUGCUAACAUGAUUCGGACGGACUUUAGCUUCGCUACGAGAGAGAAUGUCUCGUCGUAGUCAAUCCCUUGAACCUGUCGAUAACCCUUAGCGACUAGUCGAGCUUUAUAGAUGGUGACAUUACCAUCCGCGUCUGUCUUCUUCUUAAAGAUCCAUUUGUUUUCUAUCGCUGUCCGAUCAUCGGGCAAGUCUGUCAAAGUCCAUACUUUGUUUUCAUACAUGGAUUCUAUCUCGGAUUUCAUGGCUUCAAGCCAUUUGUUGGAAUCUGGGCCCGUCAUCGCUUCUUCAUAGUUCAAAGGUUCACCGUUGUCUAACAACAUGAUUUCCAGGACGGGGUUGCCGUACCACUCUGGUGCGGAACGUGUCCUUGUGGACCUACGAAGUUCAGUAGCAACUUGAUCCGAAGUACCUUGAUCAUCAUCAUUGGUUUCCUCUUCAGUUGGUGUGGGCAUCACAGGAACAUUUUCCUGAGCUGCACCACUUUCCCGUUCGAGAGGUAGUACUUCAUCGAGUUCUACUUUCCUCCCACUUACUUCUUUCGAGAGAAACUCUUUUUCCAGAAAGCAUCCGUUCUUGGCAACAAAGAUUUUUUCCCUCGGAUCUUAAGUAGAAGGUAUACCCGACAGUUUCCUUAGGGUAUCCUAUGAAGACGCAUUUUUCCGACUUGGGUUCGAGCUUUUCAGGUUGAAGUUUCUUGACAUAAGCAUCGCAUCCCCAAACUUUUAGAAACGACAGCUUAGGUUUCUUCCCAAACCAUAAUUCAUACGGUGUCAUCUCAACGGAUUUAGACGGUGCCCUAUUUAAAGUGAAUGUAGCUGUCUCUAGAGCGUAUCCCCAAAAUGAUAGCGGUAAAUCAGCAAGAGACAUCAUAGACCGCACCAUAUCCAAUAGAGUGCGAUUACGAUGUUCGGACACACCGUUUCGCUGAGGUGUUCCAGGCGGCGUGAGUUGUGAAACGAUUCCACAUUUCCUUAAGUGUGUGCCAAAUUCGUGACUUAAAUAUUCUCCUCCACGAUCUGAUCGUAGGCACUUUAUCUUUCGGUCACGUUGAUUCUCCACCUCAUUCUGAAAUUCCUUGAACUUUUCAAAGGUCUCAGACUUGUGUUUCAUUAAGUAGACAUACCCAUAUCUACUUAAGUCAUCAGUGAGAGUGAGAACAUAACGAUAUCCUCCGCGAGCCUCAACGCUCAUUGGACCGCACACAUCGGUAUGUAUGAUUUCCAAUAAGUUGGUUGCUCGCUCCAUUGUUCCGGAGAACGGAGUCUUGGUCAGCUUGCCCAUGAGGCAUGGUUCGCACGUGUCAAACGAUUCAUAAUCAAGAGACUCUAAAAGUCCAUCGGCAUGGAGCUUCUUCAUGCGCUUGACACCAAUGUGACCAAGGCGGCAGUGCCACAAGUAUGUGGGACUAUCGUUAUCAACUUUACAUCUUUUGGCAUCUACACUAUGAACAUGUGUAAUAUUACGCUCGAGAUUCAUUAAGAAUAAACCAUUGACCAUCGGAGCAUGACCAUAAAACAUAUCUCUCAUAUAAAUCGAACAACCAUUAUUCUUAGACUUAAAUGAGUAGCCAUCUCGUAUUAAACGAGAUCCAGAUACAAUGUUCAUGCUCAAACUUGGCACUAAAUAACAAUUAUUAAGGUUCAAAACUAAUCCCGUAGGUAAAUGUAGAGGCAGCGUGCCGACGGCGAUCACAUCGACUCUGGAACCAUUCCCGACGCGCAUCGUCACCUCGUCCUUCGCUAGUCUCCGUUUAUUCCGCAGCUCCUGCUGUGAGUUACAAAUAUGAGCAACGGCACCGGUAUCAAAUACCCAGGAGUUACUACGAGUACUGGUAAGGUACACAUCAAUUACAUGUAUAUCAAAUAUACCUUUGGUUUUGCCAGCCUUCUUAUCUGCUAAGUAUUUGGGGCAGUUCCGCUUCCAGUGACCCUUCCCCUUGCAAUAAAAGCACUCAGUCUCAGGCUUAGGUCCAUUCUUUGACUUCUUCCCGGUAACUGGCUUACCAGGCGCGGCAACCUCCUUGCCGUCCUUCUUGAAGUUCUUCUUACCCUUGCCCUUUUUGAACUUAGUGGUCUUAUUGACCAUCAACACUUGAUGUUCUUUCUUGAUUUCAGCCUCUGCUGACUUCAGCAUCGAGAACACUUCAGGAAUGGUCUUUUCCAUCCCCUGCAUGUUGUAGUUCAUCACAAAGCUCUUGUAGCUUGGUGGGAGCGACUAGAGGAUUCUGUCAAUGACCGCCUCAUCUGGGAGGUUAAUGUUCAGCUGGGUCAUACGGUUGUGCAACCCAGACAUCUUCAGGAUGUGCUCACUGACAGAACUGUUUUCCUCCAUCUUACAACUGUAGAACUUGUCGGAGACAUCAUAUCUCUCGACCCGGGCAUGAGCUUGGAAAACUAGUUUCAGCUCUUCGAACAUCUCAUAUGCUCCGUGAUGCUCAAAACGCUUUUGGAGCCCCGGUUCUAAGCUGUAAAGCAUGCCGCACUGAACGAGGGAGUAAUCAUCAGCGCGAGUUUGCCAAGCAUUCAUAAUGUCUUGGUUCUCUGGGACGGGAGCGUCACCUAGCGGUCCUUCUAGGACAUAUUGUUUCCUGGCAGCUAUGAGGAUGAUCCUCAGGUUCCGGACCCAGUCCGUAUAGUUGCUGCCAUCAUCUUUCAGCUUGGUUUUCUCUAGGAACGCGUUGAAGUUCAUGUUGACAUGAGCGUUGGCCAUUUGAUCUACAAGACAUAUUUGCAAAGGUUUUAGACUAAGUUCAUGAUAAUUAAGUUCUAAUCAAAUUAUGAAAUCCCACUCAGAUUAGACAUCCCUUUAGUCAUCUAAGUGUUACACGAUCCGAGUUGACUAGGCCGUGUCCGAUCAUCACGUGAGACGGACUAGUCAUCGUCGGUGAACAUUCUCAUGUUGAUCGUAUCUUCCAUACGACUCGUGUUCGACCUUUCGAUCUCCGUGUUCCGAGGCCAUGUCUGCACAUGCUAGGCUCGUCAAGUUAACCCUAAGUGUUUUCGCUGUGUAAAACUGUCUUACACCCGUUGUAUGUGAACGUAAGAAUCCAUCACACCCGAUCAUCACGUGGUGCUUAGAAGCGACGAACUGUAGCAACGGUGCACAGUUAGGGGAGAACACUUCUUGAAAUUUUUGUAAGGGAUCAUCUUAUUUACUACCGUCGUCCUAAGUAAACAAGAUGCAUAAACAUAAUAAACAUCACAUGCAAUUAUAUAGUUGUGACAUGAUAUGGCCAAUAUCAUAUAGCUCCAUUGAUCUUCAUCUUUGGGGCUCCAUGAUCAUCUUGUCACCGGCUUGACACCAUGAUCUCCAUCAUCGUGUCUUCAUGAAGUUGUCACGCCAACGACUACUUCUACUUCUAUGGCUAACGCGUUUAGCAAUAAAGUAAAGUGAGUUACAUGGCGUUCUUCAAUGACACGCAGGUCAUACAAAAAAUAAAGACAACUCCUAUGGCUCCUGCCGGUUGUCAUACUCAUCGACAUGCAAGUCGUGAAUCCUAUUACAAAGAACAUGAUCUCAUACAUCACAAUUCAUCAUUCAUCACAACUUCUGGCCAUAUCACAUCACAUGAUCAAUCGCUGCAAAAACAAGUUAGACGUCCUCUAAUUGUUGUUGCAUCUUUUACGUGGCUGCAAUUGGGUUCUAGCAAGAACGUUUUCUUACCUACGAAUAACCACAACGUGAUUUUGUCAACUUCUAUUUACCCUUCAUAAGGGCCCUUUUCAUCGAAUCCGCUCCAAGUAAAGUGGGAGAGACAGACACCCGCCAGCCACCUUAUGCAACUAGUGCAUGUCAGUCGGUGGAACCGGUCUCAUGUAAGCGUACGUGUAAGGUUGGUCCGGGCUGCUUCAUCCCACAAUACCGCCGAAGCAAGAAAAGACUAGUAGAGGCAAGUAAGAUGACAAAAUCCACGCCCACAACAAAAUUGUGUUUUACUCGUGCAAAGAGAACUACGCAUAAACCUGGCUCUGAUACCACUGUUGGGGAACGUUACAGAAAGUUAAAAUUUUUCCUACGGUUUCACCAAGAUCCAUCUAUGAGUUCAUCUAAGCAACGAGUCAAGGGAGAGAGUUUGCAUCUACAUACCACUUGUAGAUCACGAGCGGAAGCUAGCCAAGGGGAUGGUGAUGAUGGAGUCGUACUCGAACGUGAUUCAGAUCACCGAUGUCCAAGUGCUGAACGGACAGCACCUCCGCGUUCAACACACGUACGGGACGGGAGACGUCUCCUCCUUCUUAAUCCAGCAAGGGGGAAGGAGAGGUUGAGGAAGAUUGCUCCAACGGCAGCACGACGGCGUGGUGUAGUUGGUGCAGCAGUACUCCGACAGGGCUUCGCCAAGCAUAUACGGAGGAGGAGAGGUGUUGGGGAGGGGAGGGGCUGCGCCUUGGCUUGUGUUAAGCUCCCAUGCGCCUCCCCACUAUAUAUAGGGGUGGAGGGGCUGGUUUCUUGCCCUCCAAGUCCAUUGGGGCGUUGGCCAAGGUGGGAGGAAAGAAAUCCCAUCAUUUCCUUCCCCACCGAUUGUUAUCCCCCCCUUUUAGGGAUCUUGAUCUUAUCCCUUCGGGAUAUGAUCUUAUUCCUUCUAAGGGGGGAUCUUGGUGCGCCUUGACCAGGGGUGUGGGGCCUUUCCCCCACUACUCACGUUCAUGUGGGUCCCCCCAUGCAGGUGGGCCCCACUCCGGAACCUUCUAGAACCUUCCCGGUACAAUACCGAAAAAUCCCGAACAUUUUCCGGAGUCCAAAAUAGGACUUCCCAUAUAUAAAUCUUUACCUCCGGACCAUUCCAGAACUCCUCGUGACGUCCGGGAUCUCAUCCGGGACUCCGAACAACAUUCGGUAACCACAUACAAACUUCCUUUAUAACCCUAGCGUCAUCGAACCUUAAGUGCGUAGACCCUACGGGUUCGGGAGACAUGUAGACAUGACCGAGACGUUCUCCGGUCAAUAACCAACAGCGGGAUCUGGAUACCCAUGUUGGCUCCCACAUGCUUCUCGAUGUUGUCAUCGGAUGAACCACGAUGUCGAGGAUUCGAUCAAACCCUGUAUACAAUUCCCUUUGUCAAUCGGUACGUUACUUGCCCGAGACUCGAUCGUCGGUAUCCCAAUACCUUGUCCAGUCUCGUUACCGGCAAGUCACUUUACCCGUACCGUAAUGCAUGAUCUCGUGGCCAACACUUUGGUCACCUUGAGCUCAUUAUGAUGAUGCAUUACCGAGUGGGCCCAGAGAUACCUCUUUGUCAUACGGAGUGACAAAUCCCAGUCUCGAUCCGUGUCAACCCAACAGCUACUUUCGGAGAUACUUGUAAUGCACCUUUAUAGUCACCCAGUUACAUUGUGACGUUUGAUACACCCAAGGCACUCCUACGGUAUCCGGGAGUUACACAAUCUCAUGGUCUAAGGAAGAGAUACUUGACAUUGGCAAAGCUCUAGCAAACGAACUAAACGACCUUUGUGCUAUGCUUAGGAUUGGGUCUUGUCCAUCACAUCAUUCUCCUAAUGAUGUGAUCCCGUUAUCAACGACAUCCAAUGUCCAUAGCCAGGAAAUCAUGACUAGCUGUUGAUCACAACGAGCUAGUCAACUAGAGGCUCACUAGGGACAUAUUGAGGUCUAUGUAUUCACACGUGUAUUACGAUUUCCGGAUAAUACAAUUAUAGCAUGAAUAAAAGACAAUUAUCAUGAAUAAUGAAAUAUAAUAAUACUUUUAUUAUUGCCUCUAGGGCAUAUUUCCAACAGCGGUGUCCAAGGCCGAAAGCAAUGCGGCCGCGGAGCGCACCGAGCGAGAGAAACAGGAGGCGCGGGUGGCAGAGGUGCGGCAAAAGCUCCAGGCUCUCGUGGAAAAACACGAGAAUUUGGAGCGUGACUCAAGGACUCGAGAGUCCGAGCUCGCCUCGGCCCUUGAGAGCGCCAAAGCCGCUAAGGCCGAAGCCCAAAAAGCCCUUCAGGAAAUUGAGGCGAUGAAGAAGAUAGCGGCGGGUAAGGCAUUCUUCAUGCAAAGCAAGCACGUGAAAGUGAAUUACUUGUUACUUACCUGAAUCCGAAGCUCUCCAGGAGCAUUCGCAGAUCUUCCCCGCAGUGUGUCCGACGCUGCCGCAUUCUACCGGGCCGAGGAGGGGAGCUCGACGGAGAAGGUGUUCUGGUCUCAGUAUGCUGAGGCCGGACAGCCGGUGCCCUUGAGCGACCAGCUGAAGUAGCUGGUCGAGCUCCAUAAGGUGGCCGAACAGGCCAUGAAGGGCCUCAUAGUUCGGCUGUGGCCUAAGGAAGCCAUGCUUGGGAGCUACUUCGGGCUGGUGAGGCGGCUGGUGGACGCCUGUCCAUGGAUUGAAGUCGUCAAGCGCUCCGUCUGCAUCGAAGGUGCCCGUAGGGCCCUUGCCCGUGCUAAAGUGCACUGGGGCAAGAUGGACGCUGAAAAGCUUGUGACGGACGCUCCACCGCCGGGCAGGGAGUAUCGCAAGCCCGAGAUGUAUUAUCAGGGCGUCCUGAAGGGUGCCCGCCUUAUAGCGGGUGAAUGCUCCAAAGAUGUAAUUUUUGAGUAAACUCGCAUUUGUUAUCCUGUACGCUUGAAAACUUGUUCAUAUGCGCUAAGCAACUCUUGUGAAUUUAAAAUAUUACCUUCUGUGCGGCCGUUUACGAAAUUUAAGAGAUGGCGAGUCGUCGACUUCUGCCCCCGUGCCACGAGUGCUGGGGUGUUCGGGAUAAACUUGAGCUCUCUUUUUCCCAUUCUUGGGUCCUUCGAGGGAGGCGCUCAACGCAACGAACAAGGCAACCGGACUAUAAUGCUUGAACACUCUCACUUAGCCAUAGAAUUAUAUAAUUUUAAAUUUCGGCGAAGCCCCUAGUAUUCGGAAGACUGAGUUCGGGGCGCUAUCCACGCCUGGGCCGGACAAAGCCGACUCCUCGCUCUAAGCGGCAUAAGUCUUUAGGGACUCGAAAACCUCUCGAACAGCGACCGGCUCUCGCCCUAUCAUGACGGUCAGUUUUAGCUUUCUCCACUGAGGUGCUUAACCUAGCUCAACCGGGGCACAAUCGCAGUGGUUCUCCCAGCGCUACCUUAGCCGAUAUAACGGAACGUAAGGUACCAAAACAUGGGAGCCGGGCAAACCCAACUAUUGACCCAAGACAUGGUUCGGAGUCGAUGCAUAUAGUGCUAUAAGUUUGGGGUGCCACACUUUUGAAAGUGUUCGGACUUAUCACACCAUAUUUUGGGGUACUUAAGCCCCUGAUGUAUUUGGCCGUACCAAAGCGUACGGAUGCAACAUGUCAUAAGUGAACAUAUAUAGAUAAAAAAGGAAUGCAAUAACAGGGAGAGGCUAUGUAUGGUUUAUUCAAAAAGGCUACGGUAAAAGCAGAACGAUACAAAUAGUGCGAUAAGCAAUAGACGGGACUAUUGACAUGUCCCCCUCCAGGGGCGAGCUGCGGGAUGAUAUGUGAAACAAGUAUACUGCUCGUUAUAAAGACCACCUGGACACUCGACGUAGCUUUCUGCUUCCCUGGCUGUUGCAUCGUGUGUUUCGGCGAUUCUACUGCCGGACAGGGCUUCUUGAGAACGGAGUCCUGAAAGUAAGAAAAAAAAGGGAAUGACACAAUCGGGAGCCCUUGGUGCGGUUGAGCCGCAUUCUAGGCCUGCCGUGGUCGUGCCCCUCCCCCUAUGCCCAUGGUAUUUCCAGAGCGUAAUUAUGUACGCGUAGUACUGGUUUUGCAAUUUCGCGAGGGCUGGGGUUGGGGCCGCAUUGCUACGCAUGCUCGGAACGUGCCAGGAGGUCUUGUUGUAGGUUACUCCGGGCGCGCUUGACGGUGUCCGGACGUUUGAUAGCCGGACUCGAGAAUUGCCUUGAGAGGUUGCUUUGUACUUCCGCCGCGAGGGCCACCGUAUGCUCCUCCGUUCGGAGAGAGCGUUCGGUGUAUCCGUUGACCGUAAUGACUCCUCGAGGGCCUGGCAUCUUGAGCUUGAGGUAUGCGUAGUGCGGCACCGCAUUGAACUUUGCAAAUGCGGUUCGUCCGAGCAGUGCGUGAUAGCCGCCGCGGAACGGGACAAUGUUGAAGAUUAACUCCUCGCUUCAGAAGUUAUCCGGGGAUCCGAAGACCACUUCAAGUGUAACUGAACCUGUACAGUUGGCCUCUACACCUGGUAUGACGCCUUUGAAGGUCGUCUUUGUGGGUUUAAUCCUUGAGGGGUCUAUGCCCAUAUUGCACACUGUAUCCUGAUAAAGUAGGUUCAGGCUGCUUCCGCCGUCCAUCAGGACUCUAGUGAGGUGAAAUCCGUCAACGAUUGGGUCUAGAACCAAUGCAGCGAAUCCGCCAUGGCGGAUUCUAGUGGGGUGGUCCCUUCGAUCAAAAGUGAUCGGGCAGGAGGACCACGGAUUGAACUUUGGGGCGACUGGCUCCAUCGCAUAUACGUCCCUUAGUGCACGCUUCCGCUCCCUUUUGGGUAUGUGGGUUGCGUAUAUCAUGUUCACUAUCCGCACUUGUGGGGGAAGCCCUUCUGUCCUCUAUUGUUCGGCGGCCGGGGCUCCUCCUCGUCGUCGCUAUGCAGCCCCUUGUCAUUGUUUUCGGCAUUUAACUUGCCUGCAUGCUUGAACACCCAACAAUCCCUGUUGGUGUGAUCGACUGGUUUUUCGGGGGUGUCGUGUAUCUGGCACGAGCGAUCGAGUAUUCGGUCCAAAUUGGAUGGGCCUGGAGUAUUUCUUUUGAAUGGCUUUUCCCGUUGACCGGGUUUUGAGCCUCUGAAUCCGGCAUUGACUGCCGUAUCUUCAGCAUUGUCGCCAUUAAUGCAGCGCUUGUGCUUGUUGCGACGCGACCUGCCGUUGUUGUCCUUGGUAUCCGAAUUACCAGGGCUCUUGGUCAUGUUGUUACUGCGAGCUAGCCAGCUGUCCUCUCCCGCGCAAAAGCGGGUCAUGAGUGUUGUGAGGGCUGCCAUAGAUUUCGGCUUUUCCUAUCCUAGGUGCCGGGCAAGCCACUCGUCGCGGAUGUUAUGUUUGAAGGCUGCAAGGUCCUCUGCAUCCGGACAGUCGACGAUUUGAUUUUUCUUGGUUAGGAACCGUGUCCAGAAUUGUCUGGCCGAUUCUUCUGUCUGCUGAAUUAUGUGGCUUAGGUCAUCGGCGUCUGGCGGUCGCACAUAAGUGCCCUGGAAAUUGUCGAGGAAUGCGGCUUCCAGGUCUUCCCAACAACCGAUUGACUCUGUUGGCAAGCUGUUAAGCCAAUGCCGAGCUGGUCCUUUAAGCUUGAGUGGGAGGUAUUUGAUGGCGUGUAGAUCAUCACCACGGGCCAUGUGGAUAUGAAGGAGAUAGUCCUCGAUCCAGACCGCAGGAUCUGUUGUGCCGUCGUAUGAUUCAAUGUUCACGGGUUUGAAACCCUCAGGGAUUUGAUGAUCCAUCACUUCGUCUGUGAAGCAUAAUGGGUGUGCGGCGCCUCUGUAUUGGGCUAUAUCACGACGCAGCUCAAAUGAGCUUUGUCUAUUGUGUUCGGCCCGGCCGGACUUGCCAUAUCCGGCGUGAUGGUUAUCAUCACGUAUCGUGGGGCGCCCACGCGAUCCGUGGAUCGAUCUUGUUUGCCUUGCCUUGUCCUCCAAUAUAUCCCGCAAGUCUGGCGCAUUUUCCCGCGCCUUGGUAUUUUUUGAGCAGCGCCGGGGUGCGGCUUCAGUGGAGGGCCGAGAGGCCUCUCUGUCGCGGCCACGAGGUGGCCGGUCGGCCGUAUUACGCGCUGGUGAUGUAGGCUUAGGUGCUUCCUCCUCUAAUCGGGGUAGCAGCCUGCGUUUUGGGUAGCUCUUGGAGGGGCAUUCGAGUUCGUACUCUCCGGCCGCCAGGACUUCAGUCCAUCUGUCGGCUAGCAAAUCUUGGUCAGCUCUAAGCUGCUGCUGCUUUUUCUUGAGGCUGCUUGCCGUGGCCAUAAGCCUGCGUUUGAAACGCUCUUGCUCGACGGGAUCCUCAGGCACGACAAAUUCGUUGUCGUCAAGGCUUGUCUCGUCUUCGGAGGGAGGCAUGUAAUUAUCGUCCUUUACCUCUCUAUCUGCCGCUCUCUCAUGAGGGCUGGCUUCUCCAUCCUCCUGCACUGAAUCCUGCUGAAGGGGGUUGUCUUCGGCACUGCCCGGGGUGUUAUUGUCUCCCGUGCCGGAAUCAUCAUUUUUGUUGUGGCGGGAUUUAGAGCGGCGCCGCUGACGCUGGCGCUUAGGCUGUUUCUUGAGGGGUCAUCCUCCGUUGUUCCAUCGCCAUUCCCAUCUUUUGGGAUGUCCACCAUGUAAAUGUCGUAUGACGAGGUGGCCUUCCAGCGCCCUGUAGGCGCUGGUUCUUGGUCGUCUCCUGCAUCGUCGUUCAUACCGUCGAUGUCUUCGGAGUCGAAGUCGAGCAUGUCGGUUAAACCAUCGACAGUGGCUACGAAGUGGGUGGUGGGUGGGCUUUGAAUUUCUUCGUCGUCCGCAUCCCAACCUUCCUGACCAUAGUCCGGCCAGGGCUCUCCUGAUAAAGAGAGAGAUUUUAGUGAAUUCAAGAUGUCGCCAAAGGGCGAGUGCCGAAAAAUGUCCGCGGCGGUGAACUCCAUGAUCGGCGCCCAAUCGGCGAUUGGCAGGGGCACAGAAGGUUUGGAGUCCGGAGAGGAGUCCGGCGCCUUGGAGUCACGAGCUUCGCAAAGGACAGGGUUGGUGUUCGGCUCAAUCGCCGUAGAGAUAGCAGCCCCCGAGGCGGUGUCCAGCCACCCGUCCUCGAUCGACGCAGUCGGCUCUGAGCUAAGGGUCGGAGCGGACACUUGUGCGGCCUCCAGGGCACUGUCCGGCGACAGAGCUAGAUCAUGCCCAUCGUGACAGUGCGGCGCGCUUGGCUGCGGCUCGAACCCGUCGAAGAUCAAGUCUCCGCGGACGUCAGCCGUAUAGUUCAAACUUCCAAAUCUGACCUGAUGGCCAGGGGCGUAGCUUUCGAUCUGCUCCAGAUGGCCAAGCGAAUUGGCCCGCAGUACAAAACCGCCAAAUACAAAGAUCUGUCCGGGAAGAAAAGUCUCACCCUGGACGGCAUCGUUGUUGAUGAUCGGAGGAGCCAUCGGACCUAAAGAUGACGACAUAGAGGAACUCUCAAUGAAAGCACCAAUGUCGGUGUCAAAACCGGCGGAUCUAGGGUAGGGGGUCCCGAACUGUGCGUCUAGGCGGAUGGUAACAGGAGACAAGGGACACGAUGUUUUUACCCAGGUUCGGGCCCUCUAGAUGGAGGUAAAACCCUACUCCUGCUUGAUUAAUAUUGAUGAUAUGAAUAGUACAAGAGUAGAUCUACCACGAGAUCAGAGAGGCUAAACCUUAGAAGCUAGCCUAUGGUAUGAUUGUUGUUCUAUCGUACGGACUAAAACCCUCCGGUUUAUAUAGGCACCGAAGAGGGUUAGGGUUACACAGAGUCGGUUACAAUGGUAGGAGAUCUACAUAUCCGUAUCGCCAAGCUUGCCUUCCACGCCAAGGAAAGUCCCAUCCGGACACGGGACGAAGUCUUCAAUCUUGUAUCUUCAUAGUCCAGGAGUCCGGCUAAAGGCUAUAGUCCGGCCAUCCAGACACCCCUAAUCCAGGACUCCCUCAGUGACCAUUUUACAAAUAAAGCAUCUCUAGGGCUUGGUGCAUUUGUCCAGAUGAUGUCCUGGCUCCCCACAAUUGUAGCAAAUCACAUCAGAGUAAGCCAUAAGACCUGACGCAGGGGCAGGGACAAACUUCUGGGAGUCCUACUUCUUUUUUUGCUAGUUCUUGUUCUGAGAUCUGCCACUAACUUGAGAUUCAGAUCCCCCGGCAGAUUGCUCCCGGAUGGCAGUAGGAACCUGACCAGAUUUUUGCCCCAUCUGGGGAGGAGGCGGCCCGUACCACUGUGCAACCUGGCUCCCCCCCAUUGUUGCUGAUGAAAUUGGGGUGGGAAUUGGCCAGGAAAACCCCACGGAGGGAGGCCACCUUGAAAUCCAUAGCCGAAGUAUGGCGGUGGCCCGCCCAUCUGAGGUUGCGGGGGAGGCUAUUGCCUCCAGCUGUUGCCGAUCUCCCCUCUUCCUCCUUUGUGCUUGCCGCGGCCACGCUCCCGCCCACUUUCCGCCAUGGUUGGAAGCUCUUGGGUGGCGGUGGCGGUGGGAGGAGGGAGGGUAGAGGAGUCCUUAGGGUUUCCAGAGGGUGAGGUACUUAGAGGGGCCCAGAGCUGGCUAUAGAAUUCCUCUGUCAAGUCACCAUGGCAGCAAGGCAGCGAGGUUGCUUCGGUGGCUGCUCUGUCAGCACCUUUUCCCAACCUUUUCUCAGCCCUCCGCGCUUUCUGAAGGAAUUUGAAUCCUCCCCCUGCUGCAGCACCAACAGAGUAGGGUUGGAGGCAGAAUCAACAACCUCGACAGGAUUAGUUAUGCUUCUCGCCAUGAAUUCGGACACAGGACAGGGGAAUCUGCAGAUAGAGCUCGCUGGGCGAUCACCUGGAUCAAGCGGCAUCGAAAGACCUGGGGGAAGAACUUGGGCUUGCAUCCCGCCAGGCUCAACAGAACUGAAGAAUGCCCGAGGUGCACAGCCAGAAACAUGAUGAUAAGCAGAUUUCCUCGCUGAAUUGGGCAUCUCCUCAUUGAGCAUCCAAAUAUUAUCUGCCAGGAAGCAGAAGUAACCACCCGAGAGCUCGGCUAACGCGGAUUGCUGAACAUGAGUCAAUCUUCUGCAGGCUUGGGUGACAGAUAAGGCAGAGGAUCCACCUGCUCCGGUUCCGGUGGCACGCUGGUGGGCAUGAGGCCAGUCAAGCAUUCCCAUCUCGCGGCGCGGCGGGGAUUACCCGAUUUCGCUUCUCCUUUUGCCCAAUGGACAAACGCAAUCAGUGGCUUCAAAGGGUGUGGCAUUAUGCGUUUCUCCGAGAAGUCGCCCUCGAAGUAGAUUCACAAAGCUAGAUUCAGCAAUUCCCGAUCCACACGAGCCUUGCACAUCUGAGCAUACCUGUGGGACUGUGGAUCUAAAUCCAGGUCCGCUUCCCUCCACUCACGGGAGCACAGGGACCAGGAGAGGGCGUCGUCACGGAUCCGCAUCGCCCUCUCCCUCCACCGCCUCCCCCGCGUCUCCCUCUGAAUGGCCGGCGAGAUGGAGCUGAGCGGCCGCAGCAUCCGCGGGAAUGCUUGGUAGACAUGCGGGAGAGGCAUUUUGAACCUCUGCUUGUCUUUCAUCCACUCUCCAGUAGAUCUCGGAGGAGGCUCCAUGGGGAGCCCGCGAGAUCUCGGAGAGGGGAAGAGGGUGCGCCCGUCGCUAGGAUGCGGCUUGUGUGGGGGGCGAUAGCGGCAGCGGGAUCUACGGUGGCGGCGGUGUUGGAGGUGGGGGCGGGCGCGAGGGGAAUCGCAGGAGCGGUCAUGCACGAGCAGUUAUCUAAAAAAAAACCUGUAAUUUAUUUUCUGGUGGGUGUUAUUUAGUUUUGUUCUUAGGCAGCUGUACUCUGCUGAUCUUCCGUGUGUGUGUGGCUUGUAUUCCGGUUUAUUAACAAAGAAGCACGGUGAACAUCUCAAGAAGAGAACAUUGCAAAAUAACAGAGGAUCAAAAGGAGGACCCUCGUCAACAUCGCACGCAGUAAGAUGAGAACAGUCAAUCGUCAAAGCAUCUCAGAAUCUACCAGGUUGCUAGGAGGCAGAGCAUCAGCAAAUAUUUACUUGAUAGAUAAAAACAGGCCGUUGGCUCAGAAAAUUAACACAGGCAACUUCCGAAUUUAUAUUUAGCGAACCAUGAGAACAUUCUUAAUAACACACAAUACACGUCACCUAAUGACCACACAAUGGCACGAAACCGUACGGACACAAAUACAAAGAUACACCAAUACAAGUACGCAUGUACACACGUGAGGUGGAACAUACCGAAGACGAGUCACUAGUAUACGAGGGGCUUCUUUGCACGGAGGUCGCGGAAGUACGUCCGGGGAUCAUCCUCGAACGCGUAGCGCGGCAUGCGCGCGCCGUGGCGGCCGGGAGCUACCAUCGUUCGCCCGCCGCGGCGGCGGCCGCAGCAGCAGCACCGGGCGAGCCAGAACAGCACAAGGGCGCCGAGCGCGGCCGGGAGCACAACGGUGACGCCGAUGCGCACCCACUGCGCGAGCGUCUCCGAGCGGGUCUCCGGCGGGAAGAGCUCGUCGGCCUUCUUGGCGAGCGCGGCGAGGAGGCCGGCGAGGAAGGCCGCGAGCUCGGUGGCCUUCUGCUUGAUGAGCUCCCACAGGGGGGCGAGAAAGCGCCCGGCACCGUCGAGGUCGAAGCCGAGGCCGGCGUCGCGCAGGGACCGCGUCAUGGCUCCGCCGCUCCGUAGCAGGAGCUUCCUCGCUGCAGGUGCCUCCGGGACGAAAGCCAUGGAUUCGCUUCUUUCUUCGCUGAGGGACGUCUACCGGGCUGGUCUUUGGUGUGAGUGUAGCGGGACUGACGGAGUGAGGUGCGGGGUCCGAUAUAAAGAUGGAAGCGAUUGAUGGAAACGGAAGCGUUUGGCGUUUCGCCGAACGAAUAACCAGUCCACUUCACCCAGCUGCAUACAUGUUCAGCGCUUUGAAGAGACAAUACAACACUGGCUGCACAGUGAACACGAGCUCCCGAGCUCAUGAGUCACGUGACUCGAUGUACUAGCCUGCAAGGUACUCGAUGUACUAGCCUAGAGUGUGUCCAUCAGAAUAUAUGGGUCUUGUGUUGGACCUGAAACCAUUUGAUAGAGAUGAUGACCAGUCUUUGCUCUGGUAAUUUUCCAUGAACAGCGAGCUCAAAUGCUUUUCUCCCACGGACUCCCCUAAUCGAACGCCACCAUUUUGAGAAUUUUUUGUAAGGAACCUAUGAACUGGAUAUGUUUUCAUAAAAGUAAGCAUAGUAUUCCGUAAAGAAAAAUAAUGUUACCCCACUUCCAACUUGAAAAGAAAAGGACCACGAUAUCGGUCGAUCGUUCGGCCUGGACAGGUGCCAGACCAAGAGGUUCGGUACGAUACAAUCCCACGAACGAUUUUAGUUCGGGAGGAGAAGCCUCCAGGUGCGAAUACCUCCCCAGCUCCUAACAACCCAAAAAGUGAAUCAAAAAAGCCAAAUAACAAAAGAUAGAAGAAAAAGGCCAAGAUUUUGCUUCUUUUUUUGCUGUGAGAAAAAAAACCCAGAUUUUUUGCUUUGUUAAUUUAAAAAAUGCCAUCAGCUUUCAAACACAGCAAAAAUUGCCAUGGGUGGACAGGAAUAAAUUUUAAAAAUAACCCAAAUGAAGAAAACAUCAUGGAAAUUUCUAGCAUACAAACAAAAUAAUUUGCAAUGUCAAAUUCGUAGCAUAAAUGUCUUGGUAUUUUUACUUAAAUUUACAUAUAAUGUAUGUGAAAAUAUCUGUGUGUGAAAAAACACAGAAAGUUGAAAAAAGAAGAAAAAUGAACAAGUGAAAUGCCAUAACCAAAAUCAUAUUAAAAUUUGCAUAUAUUUGACAUGGCAAAAAAAGUAAAAUCUGCCAUGUUAAUAAAGGUCAAAUAAAUAGUAAAACUUGCCAUGGCAAUAAAAGUUAAAAAUUGCCAUGGGGAUUUAGGUAAAUUUCCCCAAGUUAAUAAAGGUAAAUUUUCCAUGGCAAAUAAAAUGUAAAACUUGCCAUGGCAAAAACGCUAAAUAUUGCCAUGGGCAUUUAGGUAAAUUUGUCAUGUUAAUAAGGGUUAAUCUGCCAUCGGCAAAUAAAAAGUAAAACUUGCCAUGGCAAUAAAAGCUAUAUAUUGCCAUGGGGAUUUAGGUAAAUUCGCCAUGUUAAUGAACGUAUAUUAGCCAUGGCAAAUAAAAGUAAAUAUUGCCAUGGCAAUAAAAGUUAAAUAUUGCCAUGGGAAUUUAGGUAAAUUCAUCAUGUUAAUGGAGGUAUAUUAGCCAUAGCAAAUAAAUAGUAAAACUUUCCAUGGCAGUAAAAGUGACAACUUGCCAUGGGGGUUUAGGUAAACUUACCAUGUUAAUAAACGUAAAUUUGACAUGGCGAAUAAAUAGUAAAACUUGUCAUGGCAAUAAAAGUGAAAACUUACCAUGGGUAUUUACGUAAAUUCGCCAAUUCAAUAAAUGCCAAAUAAGACAGUAGAGCGUGCCAUGGCAAUAUUUGCCAUUUUGUGUCUUUUUGACAAUUUCGAGAAUUACCAUGGCAAAAUGCAAUGGUUUAGAAGGCAAAUUUAGAACCGUUGAUAGCUAUAUAGUGGCAAUUAUACGAAAAGCAACAUGGCAAAGUGUACUGAAAAUAUUUUUGCCAUGCAAGUGCGAAACAUAUCAUAAUUUGCACGCAUCGAAACUUCCUAAUUUGCCAUCUGUUUUACAAGUUCCGUGCUCCGUUUGAGUGAAAAUUGAGUUGUCUAGCUGCAUAGUGAGCAAGUGCACCAUUCAUCCAUCAGUUAACAAAAAAAUUAUAUUCCUAAUUCAUAUCAGCAAUGAGAUUAGACUUGAGAAAAUAGCAAAUGAAGCAAAAAAAAGGACACGAGGUUAGCCGCUUCACAGCCUCACAUUGCAGUGCAGCAAAAACUUGCCAUGGAGAUUUGGGACUUCUCAUCAUCCUAUGGCUGGGACGAGAGGGAGGAGGCCUCGCAGCGCCACCCAGGGAGCCUGUUGGUGGUGAGCCUCCGCCUCUCCCCUGCACGUCGUCCAUCCCCUAUGAGCGUGCUGCUGCUCGCCGCACUCCCCGACGAGCGCGCAGGUGCUGACACUGAGCUCGCCGGCGAGCCUCUGCCUUUCUCCCGCCUUCGGCCUGAUUUCGGCCAUAUCCGGCCCGUGCAUCACCGGUGGAACUUCUCCGCAACGCUGCUCCUCCCCGCCUCAUCUCCAUCGCGCCACGACUGUCUCGAGUGUUGACGUAUAAUGUGCCGCCUAGUCUUUGCCAUCAGAUCGGUCUUUUGGUUGUAUUGGCUAGAGCAUGCACUUCUACAUGGUAUCGAAACCACACGUGAGGGGAGUGUUGACGUAUAAUGUGCUACCUAGUCUCUUUCAUCAGAUCAUCUUUUGGUUGCGUUGGUUAGAGCAUGCACUUCUACAGCGAGGACAGAUCAGCCCGCCACAUCCCGAUGCUGGGUCCCGUAGGAGCUCCUAUCCGUCGUCGUCCGCCUCCGACUUGUGGACGUACUUGCAGAUCAGGGAGGGAAACAGACGGAUCCAAAAGACAGCUUGCCGGAGGCUACAUUCCCGGCGAUGGACGGCGGCGGCGUCAUUCUGUACUUGAUGAAGAAGAGAUAGUAGAGCGAGCAGCGAGAGAAGAAUAGGAGCGGCACAGGGCGGCUUGGAGGAACCUGGCGGCGCUCGUCGCCGGUCGCUGGUGGCACGGGAGAGGCGAUAGCUUGGGAUGGAGCUCAUGCUCGCCCACAAGAUGGGUUAUAGAGUAGUAAUUCUACACCUACGAAACGUUCUACUUAGGCUUACUUAACCUUCCAGAAAAUUCUCUCCUCCCCACUGAUUUUAAUUGGGAUGGGCCCCAACUGCUAAUCCUGGCCCAAUUAACAAACACCACAUCAACUUUUACAUAACAUCUGAACGUAACAUUUUUCUUUGCGAAGGAAUCUGAACAUAACAUUACGUAUAUGUAGCAUUGCUCGUGAUAGAGUGGGGAAUGGAUGAGGCAUCGUGGGGUCGUGGACCGAAAAAAAGCUUUCGGGAGACUUUCCCUCGAUGCGAACGAGGGCGUUGGGAUGUUGUGGUGAGGUUGCGUGCACCAAUAUACCUGCGUCCCCAACGGGUUGCACGGUCGCUCCUCGGUCGCUCUCGCGGGCGGCCAGGAGCGAAACCUAGCCGCCGCCGCAAGCCACAACCACCGCGCCCCCGCCCUUCGCCGCCGCCGGCAGGAGUCGUCGGGCAAAGCCAGCGGCUCGGCGGCGGCGGGGCCCUUUUUCCCCUUUCCGCUGGAGAUGGUACGGCGCGGGCCGGCCGCUCCUGGAGGGAGCUCUGGCACGUUGGCGCUCGGGAUGGCGUUGGCUGGCGCUGGAAGGCUGGGGCAGCGGCCCCAGGUCGCGCGCGGGGUUGGCGUGCGCCUCCCUCGCGGAGGUGGUCCGGCGGCUGCCUGCGAGGCGGAGGAUCCGGGGCCCUCGCGCCUGGAUCUGGUGAGGAGGCGGGCCGUCGGCAGCGGCGUCGCGGCGGCAUGAGGUCAAGGCAGCGGUGAUGCUGGCCUGCGAGCAGGGUGGAGGCGCGGGCUGGGCGCGGCGGGGCGCGAGGAGGCGUGUGGCUGGGCGCGGAGUGCGGCCAUGGGUGCGGCGUGUUGGUCGCCGGUGCAGAUCUGGCGGGCGGCGGCCGGUGGUCUUCGCUCGGCGGCCCUGCGGGCAUGCCUGGACGCCACGGAUCCGGCCUUGGCAGCGCAAGAUGGGUAGUUUUCUUUGCCCCGUUCUGCUGCUUUGGAGUACAGGGGGCCGGAAGGAGACGGCUGCUGGUCGGAGGUCCAUGGCUGGCGGCCCGGGAAGGGCACUGCCGGCUGGUGGUGGUGCCCGGUUGCCGCUUGUUGGAGCUGUGUGGCUCUGCCGCGGUUGGAUGCGGGGUGCAGGGCCCGAUCUGGUCUCUGCAGGCCCGUCAUCGAGGAGGUUUGCGGGUGGCCCUACACAGCAGUGGCGUGCUCGUUGUGUUGGGGGUGCGCGGUCCAAUGGAGGUACGGGUCGACCUCGGCCUGCUGCGUGGGAGUGGCUGCACCGGGUGAAAGCCUGGCCGGUGCUGACCGGCCGACGACGACGGCGCCUGUGGGCGUCGCUAUCCUCCUUGGAGGCGUCGUCAGGAAUCUUCACAGCCUCUACUCCUGGAUCAAGUCCUUCGGGUGAAAGCCCAGAUCCUGCUACAGGGUCGGGCGGUGUCGUCGUCUUCAACGCAGUUCCCCUCUUUAGGGUGCCGUCUUGAAGAAUUUGAUCCCUUUGGUGCUUCCUAUGACUGGACGUGCACGGUGGCUUCUGUGGCAACGACGACGGUGGUGAGCAACGUCGGAGGCGCGGCUUUGGUCGUGGUAGUCGGCUCUUCUUCUCCGGCGUGUCCAUGGGAAUGCCUCGACUGCCCGUUGCUGUGAAGUCGAAGCUGCGGUGGGGGGCCGCUGGUAUACGAUGACGCGUGUCAGGUGGCUCGUUCGGUGAUCCCUUGUGACGCCAACCUUGCCUCCUUUCUUUGUGGUUCAUCUUCGGAGUCGGAGCUGCGUUGUCUAAUGUGGAUUGUAUGGAGUGUUUUGUUGCAGCCAUUAGGGUUGAUGUUUUUCUUUUUCUUUUGAUCUUUGGAUCUCCUGGUCCUAGGACCUUCAUCACCUUGUUGUUUUCGUUGCUUUCUGCUAUUAUCAAUGAAUGCCAGCGAUGCUGGAUCUUUCAAAAAAAAUAUACCUGCGUCCGAUCCAACGAUAACAACAAGUUCGGGGUGAGAUGCAAAGGGAUGACAUGUUCGGCAAAUAUUGAUUCCAAAGUAAAAUGGUGUUUCCCUUAGGCUUUAUGAAGAAAAUUGAAACCAAACCAAACCAUGGCCGCUAUAAUAAGAAAGGGACAAAGUGAACCAACAUGUGGUUGAAUGGUUAAAGAGACUGUGGUAUCCCAAGCCCAUCAGGGUUCAAAUCCACUUCAUAAAUUUUAAGAUGAUAUGCCGUCUUAGUCUUUCGGAGGUGCUCAUAGGGAUAGGGUAUGCGUGUGUGUUCAUAGGGGUGAGUGUAUGCGCGUGUAUAUGAGCGCUUGCAUCUGUACUGUGUUAAAAAAAGAACAAAGAUCAGUAACAUGCCCACGCUGUAACAUGGUCGUUGGAUUGAAAAUCAACAGAUCGAUCUAACAUGUUGAACUUUUUUUAAUGUUGACAAUAGAGCUGCCAAAUUCAUUGAUCAGAAAAAGUGUUACAAGAAUUCUAAGACGAAGAAAGCAGAGCGUGCAAAAAGAAAUGAAAGCAAAAAAUGCCGGCACUAUCCCCAAACUCCACCAAACAAGUCAUGCACACCAACAAAAAUCAACGUUGUGUCUCCAAGGUAACGCCUCCAAAGAGGGAGUAAUGUCAAAGGACAAAACCAUUACCCGAUCUGGCAUAGCCAAAUCUUAGGUUUUCAUCCGAAGACCACAAGCUAUAAGCUACGAAGGGCAAAACGAGCUCCACAGCGGUACCUUCAAAAAGAAAGACGACAUACGUAGACGCUGUUACCAUCGGCACUGACCAGGUCAAUGCACGAUUUUCAUCCGAAGCCGAGUCUUCCACCAAUUGGAUCCGAGGCCUACCAGCACUACCGGGAAGAAAUAUGCCAUGCACACACUACCAGGAACGGACUUGCCGCCGCCGCACGCCGAAACAUGGCGAACACAAGACAACCUGGUUGAGCCGCCCCGCCGCACGCAGUCCUGGACGAGCCAAACCAGAUCCGGCCAUCCCCUGCCUUUGUGCGCAGAAACUGGGCGAGGAUCCGCACCGCAGCGCACAGGAAAAAGCGAGUUAGAAUCGGAGUUGGCCGGCUUGCAUCGCCGCGCGCCAAACUGUGCGAACACCACGCCAAACUGAUCGCCUCACAUCACCGCGCGCAAGGACAGGACAAGCCGAGUUGGAUCUGAUCUGCCUAAAAACCUACUCUGCACCACAGCCGCUGCACGGCGCCGCUACUCCAAGACCAGGACGUGAGCACAGUUUGGAAAGAAGGGCCCGCCAGCAUUCGUCAACCCUACCGAACAUCCACCACCAGUACGACCUCGGGCAGCAAGACCGGCAAAAGAGACAUCAAAUCAAGCACGACCGUGGCAAGGACCGCACGUCGCGCGCCGACCUGGCCCAUCCUCGAAGCCCACUCUGGCACGCCGUACCCAUGGCACGCCGCACGCGCGGUCAGCUGCUCGCCGCGCGCCCGCCGAUGCCUGCUCAUCACACACGCCGCACCCGCCCGCCUUGCCUUGGCCGAGCACCCCAGCACCGCCCUGACCUCGCGAGAGGGAAGAAGAUGGAGGGCCCGCCGCCGCCGACGCAGUGCGGGCUUUUCCCGGUGGAUUUUUUGUUGAAAAGGACUACCUGGCCAACAGAAUUGCCAGAAAAGACCCCCUCUAAAUGCAAUUGACAGGAAAGACCCCCUCGACCGUGACGGCAGGUGCUCCAGCCGACACGUGGCACCUGCCGCCACAUGCGGAGGCGGCAGCCCGUGCCGCCACUGGACCAGGCGGCAGGCGCCACGUAACAGAUUUUCGGCCGAAGCGCGGGAGCUGGAAUGGAACGGGUGACAGGAGGUGCGCCCUGCCGCCUUUGGGAGUGGUGGCACCUUUUUUUUUGCCUGACAGACGAUUAAACAGCGCACGGCACCUCCUCUGUAUAUAUAGAAUAUUUAAAAGAGAGAGCAUGCAUCUAUGCGACGUGGUGUACACGAACUAGAAAUCUGGCUAGCUUUUGUACGUGCAUAUCUAGCCCUCUUUUCGUGAUUAUUUCUCUUAGAUCGAAGUAUAAAAUUUCAAUCUAUUUGCACCACUGUAUUCUUCAUGAUGAACUCUACAAAUAGAGUCUAAUAUUAAUUAUAUUUUUUCUUUCAUAAAUUUCUAGCAAUACGUGCGACCCAUACGUCGUAGAGUAGCUAAUUGUUAAAUCAAUGCAUGUGUCAACACGGGUGACACGCAACUGCGGAAACACCGAAAUCACCAGUUGGUGGUGGCUCGUCGUGCGUGCAGCAGCUGCAGCACCUGCCGCCAGCGGGCGUGGCGGCAGCAACAUGUGGCCCGAGCUGCCGCCUCAAGCAGUGGCAGCAGGGCCCACCUCCUGUCUCCCGUUCCGUUCCAGCUCCCACUCAACCGAAAAUCUGUUACACGGCGUCUGCCGCCUGCCGCCGUGGCUGCAGGGCUGGCCGCCUCCGCACAUGGCGGCAGGUGCCACGUGUCGGCUGGCGCGCCUGCCGCCACGGUCGAGGGGGUCUUUUUGGUCAAUUUUAUCUAGAGGGGGUCUUUUCUGGCAAUAUCGUUGGGCAGGUGGUCUUUUUCGACGAAAAAUCUUCCCGGUGCGGCUUGCCGGCGAGAGGCGGGGGAGAUUAUGCGGCAGCUAGGGUUUCGCCGUGGUCGCCCGCGGGGUGGGGCUACACGAGCGACCGAGAAAAGAGACCAGGUUUUCGUAUUUUGUAAAAUAAUCUUUUGAUUUUCAAUCGGAUGGCUAAGAUAGAAGGGUAUGUUACUAUUGUUCAACAGUAACAUGCCUAUGACACGACACUGGAUCGAGCAUGCAACAUGAGCACACAUAUAUUGAUACUCCCUCCGGGUUUCCGUCUUUUGAAAAAUAACCUUUUGAUUUUCAAUCAGAUGGCUAAGAGAGAAGGGUAUGUUACGUACUAUUGUUCAACAGUGACAUGCCUAUGACACGACACUGGAUCGAGCAUGCAACAUGAGCACACAUAUUGAUACUCCUUCCGUUCUAAAUAUUUGUCUUUCUAAAGAUCUGAACAAAUUCUAAAGAUUUGAACAAAUGACUACAUCCGGUGCAAAUGAGUGAUUCUACACUCUAAAAUAUGUCUAUAUAAAUUCGUGUGUGAUAGUUUAUUUGAAAUUUUUAAAAAGACAAACAUUUAGGAAGGUAGUAGACUAAUGCAUACAACACGAGAACAGCGCACAUAGCCAUCGCUAGCACAUAACACAAUGCAUGCAUCUCGCAGGUCUUGCUCAGCUGACGAACUAGAUAGAUGGGGUGUGUUGUGCUUGUGCUCGUGUUCGGUGUGAGAGCGGCCAAGGGCACGGGUGGGGUUAUAAAGACGGAGGUGCACGCUGCGAACGAAGGAUUUUGGAUCGGAAUCAGCCGAAGAUCCAGUGACUCCAUUUACACGGUUAAUAGCCUGCAACGCACAGCCAGUCUGCUGGUUGACGUGACAAUACGACAUUGGCUGCACAUAGCCACGAGCUGCCUAGUUGUGACUCCGUUUACCCGGUGAAUAGCCUGCAUCACACAGCUGCCUAGGUGUGACUCCGAUUACCCGGUAAAUAGCCUGCAUGACACAGCCAGCUGGUUGACGUGACAAUACAACGUGGCGGCACGUAUCCGCGAUGUGCCUAGUUGAUUUGAUGGUACGGUACCAGCUUUAGUAGAUGCACUCUAGAGUGUUCAAACGACCAAAACACCUCUGCCCUAGGGUUCCUGCAGACUGCCGUAAUGGCUAUUGGUGAGAUAGUAUUCUCUUGCAUUAUUCUAGUAGCAAGCGCAGCUCAACGAUAAAAGGAUAAAACCCAAAAAUAGUUAGUGCGUGUUGAUAGGCGAUCAUCUUCUAUUCGGGAUCUUUAUUUGAAGCAGAACAGAGAUCAGAUAAUUUCUGAGGUGUUGAGUGGAUCAGGCAGCCAGUACAUGAAUAAGAAGACAAGGAAAGCAACACCAUGGAGUUAAGAUACAUGCAUGCACACUUACACAUAGCGGUUACUACUUUACAUUACAGAGAGUAGCUUCAGACUGUUGACACGCUAGUAACAUGGUCGAACAUACACGCACCGCCCAGGUACAGAAGAUGAUAUUGAACUUGGUUGACACUAGCUUAGCUUGGGCAAUACAUACGUGCCCAGGUGCAAAAGGUACAGUCCCUACUCCUGAACUUCAUUGACACUAGCUUAGCUUGGGCAAUACAUACGUGCCCAGGUACCAAAGAUCAGUCCCUACCCCUAACUCCAUACUAACUACCUAGCGUACUGCCACUAACUUGGCAUCAACCUAGUGUGCAUUUCUUCUCUAGGCAGCAAAGGCGGCCGCAGCCGCCGCAGCGCCUGCGUUGUGGAGGAGCUGGAAGUACAUCUGCGGGUUGGCCGCAAAUGCGGCGCGGGAGAUGAGGAAGCCGGCCGCGCCGGGCGCCUUCAUCAUCCCACCGGCAACGACAGCCGCCGGCCAGAAGAAAUAGGCGCCCACAGCGCCCAGGCCGACGAUCACCGCAGCCGCGACGACGUUGAACACCAUCUCUGAAGUCUGAACCGACGUUCUCUACCUGAAUCUGUGUUAGAUCUUUUUCCCUGUAUGUUCUAUGCAGAGGCGAGAUUGCUAGAUGAAGCGGACGUAAGAGCUAGCAGCGAGAAGGGUGACUUAUAUAGGGCUGGACGCUGGAGUGCCCGCGAGCGCUCGCCGCUUCCAGCCGCAUCGAGCGAUCUGUUCACCGGGGACGCGUGGACAAUGGCCGGAGACAAGGGUCGAUGGAGGGGAGACGCGUGCCGGCCAGGCGGCCACGUAGCCGGGUAGUACAUUUUUCGGCCGGUAAUCCUGGCAAUCGAUUGUUGGGUAUAGCAUUCCCCUUUUUUUCAAAUUAG
This 60111-nucleotide long non-coding RNA is filed under the name Triticum aestivum (bread wheat). RNAcentral's name for it is "long non-coding RNA (TAES_LNC022132)". Lineage: Eukaryota; Viridiplantae; Streptophyta; Magnoliopsida; Poales; Poaceae. The record is from RNAcentral.